RNAcentral lists this long non-coding RNA (56256 nucleotides) under Triticum aestivum (bread wheat). RNAcentral's name for it is "long non-coding RNA (TAES_LNC022094)". Lineage: Eukaryota; Viridiplantae; Streptophyta; Magnoliopsida; Poales; Poaceae. The record is from RNAcentral.
AGCAAGCUGCACAUGCCAUGCACCAUACGCCAUACAAAGACAUUUUAAUCUCACUUAAAAACCCACGGUGCAGCCUCGUAUCAUGACCUUUAGACAUUGAAAUGCUGGUAAUUUCUCAAAAUGAGAAAACCAGGUAGUUAUAAUUGUUAUGACGGUGUUACCACAAUAUUUUGUCCUGUGAGUGCCUGUCAUAGGAUCAAAAUGAAUGGACUGUCAGCUGAUUUCUGUGUUCAAACUUGUAUCUGAUAACCUGAUAACCUCACAGAAAACCAAACCCCUUGGUGCUGUUGGUGUGAGCAUUGCACUUAGAGUUUCCUACCUAAUAAUACUUAAUCUGACUUCUGUUUCGCCAAGGCUGCACAAUUGAUCAUCUAUGUUUCUAUACCGCAUUCCACACCCCGUUCUAAUGGGUCACUGAGAUUCCUUUGGACGCACUAAUGUUUGUCCUUCUUCAGGAUCAAACAUAGCAUCAGGGCACUUGUCUUUUCAAAGGGCGGCCGCGGACUUCCUGAAUGAGGGCGUGGAACUUUGGGAAGCUAACAUAAAUGUGAGUUCUACAGAAGCCCUGCAGACAAGGGUUAGUGGGGAUUGCAAGGUGCUUGGUGUGGCUUUGUGCAAUCUUGGUUGCCCCUUUAUGGACCAAGAUUUUGCAGGGUGGCCUCGAUUCAAGGAAGUGAGGUGAUUGGUCGCAUGGUGUGAUCCUGAUAUCUCUCAUGUGGAUAUCUUCGAUGCAAGUUGAGGGAUAGCUGCUGCAAGGCGAUCUCGGCUGCCAGUCGGGGACACCUUGUGACUAGGUAGGUCAGGAGAGUUGCUGCUGCAUUGGAUCGUGUAGGUCGAAAACGUGCAAUGUACUCGUUGCUGGCGGAAAGACUGCAUAGUUGAGGCUUCAGUACUUCAGAUUGCUUUACAUCAUGUGUGUAGAGCUCACUUUCCUUGUUUAGAUUGUUCGUAUGAAACACUCAAUUUGCCAGUGUAGUUUCCGUAUAUAUCAUUGUGAACAUAGAUAUAAGCUGAUGGACAAAAAGAACGUGUGCGGCAUCCAUGUUUUUUUUUUCUGGAACCGCUGACAGGGAUGCAGGCUAUUUCUCACCCAAAGAUAGCAGCCAUCCAAGUUCAAAUCGAUGAGGGAACCUUACUGCAGUGUGAUGAUUUGUGAUCGUAGUCAUGCUAGCAAGCAGAAACGAAAUUGUGAUAAUAAUAAUGUAUAUAUGCAGGUUGCGUGAUGGCGUCGUGCCCGGCACGGAAUGCGUGGAGGUUUGCUGCACUAGCACUACUGAAGUGAUGAGGGAGAAGUGGGAGACGACAUGGCAAACACGCUGUGUUGUGUUGGUCAUUGAAGUUCCCUCUCUAUUGUUCUCGUACUUCUUCCGUCCGAAAAUACUUGUCAAAGAAAUUAACAUAUCUAGACGUAGUUCCGGCCAAAGGGGUACUAUAGGAUCUUCUGUCCUGCAUAUGCCAUAUAUGCAAUCUGCUAGCUCAACGGCGGUAGUUGUCUUUUAGGCCUUGUACAGUGCAAGAAAUAAAUGUUUUUCAAGCAUAGAUGCUUAUUUUAUAGAGGUAUGGUAGACACUUAGGCAUCCCCUCUUGUGUAAAGAUAAAGUAUUGAUGCUUAAGCAAAACUUGGUUCACUUUUUUUAGGGACACUUGUAUUAUGCUUUGGAUAUAAGAUGCAAGAAAAUAUAAAGUAACUCCAGUGACUAAGAAUUACAAUAUAUCUCUUGGAAACAUCUCAAGACUUCAGUGAGCAGCGAUACUUUCACUCUUUCGCUCACACGAAAUUGAUUGCCAAUGAAGGUUUCUCAGCCCCAUGAGCCGUCCACCCAGAAAGAUGGGAAGCCUUGAGUGGCUGGCUGGGAUGAACCUUUGAAAAUCUGUGUCGCCGAAUCUUGUGAUCUUCACUAUGAUGUUGAGGAAAAAAUUUCAACUCCACACAUAAUCAAAUCAAUGACAACAACUUGACAGAAUAAGAUAAUUCAUCACCGAGUAAUUGAAUGUGCCAGAAAAAACCCUCUCUAGCUUUAUGGCACCGCCAAAAAAGGACGAGAGGAACUUUAUUCUCAUAAAACUAUGUUCACUAAACACCAACGAAGAACAUAUAAAACUCCUAAAAUCAGAAGACCCUAACACUAAGGUGACUGCCGAAGGCGAGGGAAGCAGAAGUAUAUGCAGCGGCGGCGGUCCUUCUCUCAAGAAACCCUCAUGUACAUAUCUAGAUUCGGUUCAUUUUAUUAAGCAUCUUACAUUAUACAAGGUGCCGAGAAAAGAAAAUAGGUACACCUAAUACUCGGCUGCAGGAGAGCAUUUCCGAAUAGGAAACUGUUCACCCUCCCACCAGACCAGCGGAACAAAGGAAAUAAUCGAUUUCCUUCACUGAAAUAAAAUCCCUCAUCUUACUUUUCUUGUCUCCUCUCUCCCGUUCUAUCCCGUGAGUUGACUUAGUUUUGCUCACCACAAGAAAUUAGACGGCCUCUACAAUCCGAUCAGAAUUCGGCUUCAACCUGAUUGAUCGAUCGAUCUAGGCCGGCUCUCCGCUCUGCAACUGCGUCCCUGGCAGGUAACGAAUUCCCCGUGCUAUCCCAGCCAUUGUUUGCAGUAGCUCAUACGCGUCACCGGCGUGCAGCUGAGGCCGCAGCGAGAAGCUGAACGCCGCGCCAUGGAAUUGGAGGCUCCGGUAGUCGAAGCAGAUCCGGGGAGAAGGAUCACAAGAGGAGCAGGAGGCGGCGGCGGCGGCGGCGAGGGGGAGGGCCCGGUUGGUCGGACCACCCUCCUGCCCUGCCCCAAUUGCGACAUCCAGGUGGUGCACAAGCUGGCGCAGCUGCUGCUCCCGGGCCUGGCCGCGGCGUGCGUCGACAGCACCCUCGGGAGCCCCUCCUCCUCGCUCGCCGUCCAGCUGCGCGCGGAGCUGGUGCGCUACGUCGCGCACCGGAGCAGCACCCCGGCCGGGGCGGAGGAGGAUCAGGAUCCGAUCGACCGCGACGACCCGGCCGAGGCGCUGGCCGUGUUCCUGGACGACUUCGCGGGCAGCAAGAGGAGCGUCGCCGUCUCCAUCGCCGGCUGGCUGCCGUACCUGGGCGGCGGCGACGACGGCCGCGACGACCGGAUCGACGACCUCGUCGAGGAGAUGGAGGCGACCCGCUUCUGGCCGGUCGAGCGGCGGGAGGCCGUCGCGCGGGACCUCCUCCGCGGCCUGGACGCCGGCGGCGGCCGGUUUCGCUGCCGCGAGGAGCUGGGGACGCCGGAGGAGCUCGCGGACCACGUCGCCAGGCGCUGCGGCUUCAGGCCCGUGCGGUGCCGGAACCACGCCCAGGGCUGCCGGGCCGAGGUCUCCGCCUGCCGCGCCGACGCGCACGACGAGGCGUGCGCCUUCAAGCUCCUCCCCUGCGAGCAGCGCUGCGGCCUCGCCGUCGCCCGGCGCCAGAUGGACCGGCACUGCGUCACCGUCUGCCCCAUGAAGCUCGCCAACUGCCCCUUCUUCCAGCUCGGCUGCGAGUCCGCCUUCCCGGCCUGCAAGCUCGGAUCGCACUGCGCGGAGUUCCUUCGGCCACACCUCCGCCUGCUCCUUAGUCCGAGCAAGAUCGGCGCUGAUCGUCUGGAUCCGGAGGAGCGUCUUCUACGGCUGGAGAAGGUGUCCAUCUCCUCUCUUCUACUCUAGUUUUCUAACAUUGCUUGCUUAAUUUAUUGGUAAAAUACUGGCAAAACUGAUGCUACUCUAUGUAUGUUUCAGUAUGAUUCCGAUGGUGCGUUGGGCGAAGCUUUGGACGUGAGGUCUCUCACUAACGCUCUUGCUCAGCUAGAGAAGAAGAUGAACGCUGAAGAUGGUUCCCCCGGUUACACCGGAGACGACAACAAAGAAGCAGUGCCCACGCAAGAUUCCAACUCCGCAGCUCUGCACUAGUUUCGUUCCCUGAUGCAGAUUUUUUUUGGAAAAAAGGCAUUUUUGUUUCGUAUAUACUCCCUCUGUACCAUAAUAUAUAUGUCGUUUUAACAGUUCAAAUUUUGAAUUGCUAAUGGUACGGAGGGAGUAUUUUUGGAAAGCACCACACCUUUUUUUGAACAACCGGCAGAAGCGUUGUCCUUUUAUUCAGCAGAACAUAGAAUUUGUACAAAAAACGAUGGUCCCAUUAUUUAAGCAGUUUAUACAAGGUUUGCGGAAAGUUUAAGUGCUACAACCUAGGGUUUAUGCUCUCAGCAUUAUUUGUCUCGAAUGCUUCGCGCUGGUAGUAGUCCAAAGUGAUGCCUCUUUCUUGAUGACAUCAAGUAGCAUUGUUGUUGUUCAGAAAAUUCUAGCAUUUUCUCGUUUGAAUUCAUCCAAGAAAUGACCAUGUUGUGGGAGGCAAUGGCCUUCCAUUAGGCUUGUUGUUGUUCACUUUGAUCCAUCAUUCUUCGAGCGAGCACACUUAAGAGGAGUUUCGAUGGCAUCAAGGCGUAGCCACUACUUGGUCAAGUUCUAAAGCCUUAGGGUGAAUCCACACUAGAAGAGAAGAUUGCCGUAGAUUUUUGCACUCUCUUGCACAAGGGGCAAAGGCCAUGAUUUUGCCAACUUCGCUUGGCUGACUGAUCGGCGGUCCAAGUUUUAUUCUAACUAUGCAAAAAGGUUGGCCUUUGGCAGCGCCCAUGCACCCACAUUGAACUCUUCAUGGACGAAUGUGUCGAGCCGCUGUAUUGUGUGUUGUAUGCUGUGGCUUCCGAGUAGUGACUGCUUUCUGUGUGUUUCCACACAAUCCAUCCUUGGUGUCUGCACUGAGUUGAAUUUCACGAAAGCAUGCACAAAGUAAGACGUACUUAUGGAAGUGUUCCAUGGAUAGGAGGGAACUAAUUUUUAUCUUGUGGAUCCAUGCAUGAUCCAUCAUGGCUUCCCACACUUUCCAAUUCUUCCCCAGUGAGACCACGUAGAUGAGGGUGGGGGGCAAUGUCCUUUGCCUUUUUAUCGUUAAGACACAGGGAGUCACAAAAAGGGGCACAAGCGCCAUUACUCAUUGUGAUGGUGGUAGAAGAAUAUAAUAGGUCAAGUCCGCCUCAUCGCACGGGUUCCCCAUGCCCACCCACAUCCUUGAAGAUUAUUUCUAUUCAUACCAUGGCCAUCUCAAUCUUAGAGUAUAGGACANNNNNNNNNNNNNNNNNNNNNNNNNNNNNNNNNNNNNNNNNNNNNNNNNNNNNNNNNNNNNNNNNNNNNNNNNNNNNNNNNNNNNNNNNNNNNNNNNNNNNNNNNNNNNNNNNNNNNNNNNNNNNNNNNNNNNNNNNNNNNNNNNNNNNNNNNNNNNNNNNNNNNNNNNNNNNNNNNNNNNNNNNNNNNNNNNNNNNNNNNNNNNNNNNNNNNNNNNNNNNNNNNNNNNNNNNNNNNNNNNNNNNNNNGUUACCCAAUUAAUCACAUUUGACGCCAAUUGUUUUGUCGGUACCCGACCACAAGAAAGCCCUCUCAACCUUCUGAGUCCUCUCAUUUAUCCUAGACAACCUCAAGCCCCAAUUCCAUAUCUUAUGUACUCAAUUCGUAUUGUCAUUGUACACCCAAAAGGGGGAGAUUGAAAGUGCAACUUUAUCCUUAAGUGGGUUUUGGUGUAUAUGACAAUAUAAAUUGACGAGUAACCUUGUAUGUUGAGUAUAUAUAUGAUGGGUUAGUCCAAAGGUUGAACGCAAAGAUGGUUGUGGACCCCUCAAUUAUCAAAGAGAGAAGCAGCUUUUGUCAGCCCUGCUGGGAUGCAAAUCAUUCAAGACGUGCAGGGAUGCAUUCGGCUUGCCCAGAAAAUGGGCUAUAAGUAAUGAGAAAUAGGCUGUAAAUUUUUAGAACACAACAAAUCGGCAAUUAGUUUCAAAUUUCAUUUUUUGAAUUCCGAGAUUUUAAAUUUCAUUGAAACUUUUGCGGGGAAUAUUUCAUUGGAUUUUAAAUUAAUAUGGUUAAAUCUAACUCAAAAUUUUAGGAUUAAAAACCUCUCGGACCCCACUGAAAUAUGCAAAAUUUCGUUGAUUGUUUUUACCAUGGCUAGAAUAUAGGCUGUAAUGCUAACAUAAAUAAUCUGGGCUUAAAAAAAUUCUGAAGAAUUAGCAAAUGAGCCAUAUACUGGGAACUCCCCAAAAAUUUCCACGCCCUCACUUCUACCAUGAUUUUUAUGUCAUGGACAGUCUAAAGAAUGUCAUGCAGGUGCGUCUCCUGCUCGCCCAGGACGAAAUACCCAUUUUCUAUCAUAUUUUUUUGUCAUAGAAGUAGGAGCCCACCACAUCUAUGAUGAUAUGUGUUUUUGUCACAUUUAUCUUCAUAGAAGUGUCAUAACCGUGACAGAAAAAGUUUCUGUUCGGGCCAUAAUGUCAUGGAUGUGUCUUUUUUUUGUAGUGAAAGAUAUAAGUGAAGCACAUAGAGUAUUCUAACAAAUCAUGAUAAAUAUAUGUAUCCCUCAAAAGGUGUGUCCAACAAACAAUGAUUGUGGCAAACUAACAAGCAAACAAAAUAAAACUAUAACACAAGACGCUCCAAGUAAAACGCAUAUCAUGUGAUGAGUAAAAAUAUAGCUCCAAGUAACAUUCCAGUGAAUUGUAGAUGAAAGAGGGGAUGCCAUCUGGGGUAUCCCAAAUCUUAGACGCUUGGGUCUUCCUUGAAUAUUACCUUGGCUGCCUUGGGAAUCCCCAAGCCUAUGGUAUUUUCGCUCCUUAUUCCUUCAUCCGUCGUGAUCUCACCAAAAACUUGAAAACUUCGGUACACAAAACUCAACAAAACUUUGUGAGAUCCAUUAGUAUAAUCAUCAAAUCAUAAAGUUUAGGUAAAAUCAUUCAUAAUUGUUCUUGCAUAAUAAUUACUAUAUUCUAACUUAUCCAUGACUUAUACCCCCGAUUAAUCCACAACAUCAUUAAAAUAAGCACAUAAUGCAAUAAAAACAGAAUCUGUCUAAAACAGAACAGUCUGUAAUGAUUUGAACAAAAACCAUACUCCUGUAGCUCUUAAAAUUCUGAAAAAUUAGGAAAAUGUGGGUAAUUUGUAUAUCAAUCAUGUGUGAAAUUUUUAGACCAAAUCACAUUCUAGUAAAAAAAAUGUAAAUUCCUGCACUGGAUGCAAAACUUUUAGUUUUUGCACAAAAUCAAGUCAACCAUCAUCUAAACCAUCCCAAAGGCUUUACUUGGCACAAACACUAAUUAAAAGAUAAAAACACAAUCAUUACAGUACCAAUAAUCAUGUCCUCACACAAAACAGAAAUAAAAUAUAGACAUUUAAGAUAACUAUUUGGUUGCCUCCCAACAAGCGAUAUUGUUUUAUGCCCCUAGCUAGACAUAAUGCAUAGUUUCAACUAUUAUCAUCUUUGGAUUACAAAUCCUCAAUUAUACAUCCAGACUUUCUAGGAGAUUUGGAAAACAUAUUUUUAAGAAUUACACUCGUAGGAACAAAAUUGAGGAAUUUGUUUUCAGUAAUAGGUUCCUUUAUCAUAUCGAUGAAGUUGGGUUGCACGCUAAUCAUUUUGAGAUCCUAUUUCUCUUUACUAGAAGGGGCACCCUUAUUUCUAAGAACAUACAUAAGCUUAGAAUUUUUAUUUGUGGGAAUCCUCUCUAUAGUUUUAAUGGAAGAAAUGUUGAACCCAAAUUAUUAAUGAUUUCUUCCAAUUUAUAUAUUGUAGCAGGACUCACUAUAGGAAUCAGCUUAUUUGCUGUCUGCCAUGGCACACGAUAAACGCACCAAAAGCGGAUGACAAAGCCCUUUGCCGUCUGCCACCGACGGCAAACCAGCCUGGCAAAGAGAGUGACGGUAAACAACCUCUUUGCCGUCUGCUUCCCCAAAGCAGACGACAAAGGCCCUUUGCCGUCCAUGGCAGACGACAAAGAACAUGGACAAUAAUUAACAGGCAUUAGCCACGUUAGGUGGCUAACGACAGUCUUUGCCGUCUGCCAGUGGACGACAAACAUGUCCUCCCCUUUGUCGUCCGCCACAGAGGGCAAAGUAACCAAAUGGUAUAGCUCCCAGGUUGCACGGGUAGCUGCCACGUGGCCUCUUUGUUGUCUUUGGCAGACGACGAAGAGCCCUUUACCGUUGGUGGCAGACGGCAAAGAGGCUACAUUGCCUCUUUUUUUCUUUUGUUUUUUCUUAUAUCCAAGCAAUUUCACAGUAAUAUAUAGCCGGUCUAUUCUGCUAAUAUUAGUAGAAUAAUUAUUCUGAUAACACUUCCGCACUGCACGCUCAACGCGAGGGCACUGCAUCCCCUAUCAAACGAGCAUUGCAAUGUCACUAGGAAAAACUGCAUGCACUUUUUGGCAUUGCUUUUGCUCUAGUUUCUAAACUGUUUGUCGGGACGAGGUGUAUAAUAUAUCGUUGGAUAGCUAUGGAAAAUGCGCAGCCUCAUAAUGUUGAACACUUUUCGAGAUUCAUCGCGGUUUAAGAGCAAUUUUAAAAACAGUGCGCGCAUGACGGGAUGCAACGAGCGUAUUUUCACGAUUUUUUCUAAACCGCACAUCGGAAUGAAGCAAACGAUACGGUGUUGGAAAGAUAUCAUCGAGCCGCAUCUUUUUUAUAUUUAUUAUUUUCUCUAAUUUGUUACAGUUUAAGAUCAGUUUCAAAUUUACUAAAUCGCGGAAUUCUGUUUUUCAAUUUUUUUCAAAUUUUCGAUAUUGUUUUCACUCCAGUUUUUUACCGUUUGUCGAAAAGAGGCGUGUAAUAUACCGUUGAAAAGAUAUGGACGAGGCGCAACUUUCAUAUGUUGAAAUAUUUUUGAGAUUCCUUACGGUUUUUAGUUAAUUUUGAAAAUCGUGUGGCUGACGACGAGAGGCAGUGGCCAUUUUUCGCGAAAUUUUUACAAAGCACUGAGCGGAAUGAUUCAAAUUAUAUGCCGUUGGAAAGAUAUCGUCGAGACACAACCUUUUCAUGUAGAACGCUCCCUCUAAAUCCUUACGGUUUAAGACCGAUUUGAAAAUUACCGAAACGCGGACACUCUGUUUUUCGCGACACCCAAAUCGCCGACUGAACCGCAAUAGACAGAGGAACACACUGCAUCAGACUGAAAACCGCACUGCUUUAGACAGACAAGCGCACUGCAUGAUUUAUUUUAUUCAGAAGUAUUUUUCUUGGGCGAGAAAGUUGACCACGCUUCACAUCGGGCGGAAGUGGACCGCUACACCAUUGAGAAGUGAACCACAUUACUUUUUCUCGUUUUUGUAACAAUUUUUCGCACUUCACGAUUGGGAGCAAGUGAGCCGCGACAUUAUGGGAAGUGAACCACAGGGACGAGACGAGUUGACUGCAUGUCUUUUUACCUUGGAUUUUUAAAAAAAUUAUUGAAUGUUUCUUUUUGUCUUUUUUUCACUCUCUCCGAGAGGAGACUAAUGAAGUGUAUUUUUAUACAAUUUUUUUGGCGUUCCGAACUGCAUCAGACAAAUUUUUUAGCGAAGUAAACGAGUGCCUUACAAACCCACGCAUCGAACAGAAAUAGAAUCGCCAGAUCUGACAUUACAAAUGACUUCUAUGGGCCAUGCCGGGCACUCAAAUAUGUGCACGAACCAAGGCUGGGAUGACUAAUCAACAGAGUACACCACCAGGAAACUCCCAUUCAGAGGCCACAAUACAUCGACAUUGUGCAUCAUAGAGAUAGUUAGCAUCAUGGGGUCAUGCGAUGAGAGCAAAAUAGUCAAUGUGCACACAACUACACAAGUUUGCAAAUCACCUUCUUUCCAGGACCAGGAAAUCGCUCUUUACAAUGGGAAUGGGUGGCGUUCUGCUUGCACCCACACUUUGGACUGCAUGGCGCCGGUGGGGCGUGCUACGCGCACCCACGUACUGGACUACAGGGCGUCAACGGGGGAAGGGGGUGCAGUUGAUCUCGGAUGGGUCAACACAUCUACCGGUGAACUGCAGUGCGGAAGGGUGAUUUAGCACUGCACUGCACAUCCAACCAAGCUGCACAAAGACGGGGCCAUGACCGACCUGCAUGAGGGCCGCGACCGAGCUGCACAAGCCCUCGUCGCCAUGCCGUUCACCCCCGAUUUUGUUGCUACAGAGGAGGGUUUGUGGGGUGGUGAACUCACCUUCGAUCCAGUACACCUAGACGCUCAGCGGACUUCUCCCCUGCUGGCAGGAGUCAAGGACUCCCAAGGCAACAUGUAGGACCUUAAGAAGAGGUGUCUAGAGGGGGGGUGAUUAGACACUAAGUACCAAAGUUGCGAUUUUUAAGAUCUUUAAGUUUAAGUGGAGUUUAGGCACAAGUUUAACAUUCACAAUACAUAACAAGCAAGCAUGCAAAGAGUAUAUGAGCAGCGGAAAGUAAAGCAUGCAACUUGCAAGAAUGUAAAGGGAAGGGUUUGGAGGAUUCAAACGCAAUUGGAGACACGAAUGUUUUUGUCGUGGUUCCGAUAGGUGGUGCUAUCGUACAUCCACGUUGAUGGAGACUUCAACCCACGAAGGGUAACGGUUGCGCGAGUUCACGGCGGGCUCCACCCACGAAGGGUCCAUGAAGAAGCAACCUUGUCUAUCCCACCAUGGCUGUCGCCCACGAAGGACUUUCCUCACUAGCGGUAGAUCUUCAUGAAGUAGGCAAUCUCCUUGCCCUUACAAACUCCUUGGUUCAACUCCACAAUCUUGUCGGAGGCUCCCAAGUGACACCUAGCCAAUCUAGGAGACACCACUCUCCAAGAAGUAACAAAUGGUGCGUUGAUGAUGAACUCCUUGCUCUUGUGCUUCAAAUGAUAGUCUCCCCAACACUAAACUCUCUCUCAUAGGAUUUGGAUCUGGUGGAAAGAAGAUUUGAGUGGAAAGCAACUUGGGGAAGGCUAGAGAUCAAGAUUCAUAUGGUAGGAAUGGAAUAUCUUGGCCUCAACACAUGAGUAGGUAGUUAUCUCUCAGAAAAUGCAUGCUGGAAGUCUAGGUUCAGUUUGAUGGCUCUCUCCACGAACGAAGAGGAGGUGGAGGGGUAUAUAUAGCCUCCCCACAAAAUCUAACCGUUACAUGCAACUUGCCAAACUCGGUGGGACCGAAUUGAUAAACUCGGUCGGACCGAUUUAGCAAAUCUAGUGACCGUUAGGAUUUUCGGUGGGACCGAUAUGCAACUCGGUAGGACCGAUAUGGUUAGGGUUAGGGCAUAACGUAAUCUCGGUGAGACCGAUUACACAAACUCGGUUGGACCGAUUUUGGUAAUUAGCUAACCAGAGAGUUGGUCAGGCAAACUCGGUUGGACCGAUUACACAAACUCGGUGGGACCGAUUUUGGUAAUGAGUCUACCAGGAAGUUUGCAUUGUAAUCUCGGUAGUACCGAUUGCUCAAACUCGGUGAGACCGAAUUUGGUAAUGGACACACACAGAGAGAUUACAAUCCCAUCUCGGUGAGACCGAGAUCCCUAUCGGUGAGACCGACUUGCCUAGGGUUUGUGGCAGUGGCUAAGACAAUUGAACUCGGUGGCGCCGGAUAGAAAGAAUUGGUGGGGCCGAGUUUGACUUUAGGUUUAGGUCAUAUGUGUGGAAAUGGGAAAGUAGUUGAGGGUUUUGGAGCAUAUCACUAAGCACUGUGGAGCAAGAAACUCAUUAAGCAACACCUCAUCCCUUCUUGAUAGUAUUGGCUUUUCCUAUAGACUCAAUGUGAUCUUGGAUCACUAAAAUGUAAAAUGAAGAGUCUUGAGCUUGAAGCUUGAGCCAAUCCUUUGUCCUUAGCAUCUUGAAGGAGUUCCCACAUCCUUUAGUUCAUGCCACUCCAUUGUUGAACUUAUCUGAAACAUACUAGAUAAAAGUGUUAGUCCAACAAGAGAUAUGUUGACAUUAAUUACCAAAACCACCUAGGGAGAACUUGUGCUUUCAAUCUCCCCCUUUUUGGUAAUUGAUGACAACAUACAUCAAAGCUUUAGAUAAAGAUAUAAAGAAUAGCAAGUAAAGCUUUGGAAAGACAUGUAACAAGCAUAGGCUCCCCUUACAUGUAUGCAGUCAUGUGAAUAUGGAAUAUAGAGUCAUGUGAGAGCAUAACCAUGAUAGAGUGGGCAAUGUGUUACAUGUAUCUUGGCCAUAUGCAUCAGAGCAAAGAAUAUUAAGGAAAAUACCUUCAUGCUCAUGAGUCCUUCUUGCAAACAGUAUGUACAUCAGCAAGAAUUCCUCAUACACAUGGUUGUGAUGCAUAUACUUACCUUGUAGUCUUGAGUUGGCUUAGGAUGGAAUGAACCUGCGUAAACAAGGUUAGAUAACACAGAUACAUCUACUAGCCAGAGCAAACAGAAGAGACUACAAGAAUACCAAUACUGGGAUGACAUGUAGAGAGUGAGUACUAAGUACCACAUUAGAUUAGACAUGUCCCCAAGAGUAAAGAUAUGCAAUGAAUUUUAAAAGAUUUCUUUCCCUUAGAUGUCUUGCUCCCCCUGAAUCUAGCAUGGGAUAUUGGGAGAAGAUAGGGAACAGAAAAUCAGAGCUGAAAGAUAUAAAUGAACAGAGCUAAUGCAAGCUAAUGCAAAUAAAAAUAAGCACAUAUGAACAUGUCUUUUCCCCUCAAUAAGACAUGUGGCAUCUCUCCUCUUGAACACCAAUCAUCUGGGAUCCUUGAGAAAUACUUUCUACUUGAGUAUUCUCUCCCCCUGGAGAUCUCUUUCUCCCCCUGAGGAGGUGAUACUCUCUCUCUGAUGUGAUCUCUCUAAGUGAUAAGCUUUGAUGUGAUCUCUCUCUCCCCCUUUGACAUCAAUUUCCAAGAAGGGUUUGAUCCUUGAGUCACAGAGCAAAGUAUUCAUAAAAAUGUGAUGCUUGUAGAGGACAAGAUUCAUUGAGUGGAGCUGGAUCAGAGAAAAUACAGAAUAAGUGGCAAACUAUUUUUCCUGUUGUGAAAUCGGUGGCACCGAGUGGUAUGCUUCGGUUGUACCGAAAGGAUUCGGUUGGACCGAAAACAACAAAUCGGUGAAAUCGAGUUCAUCACAGAGAAAACACUUGUCACCUCAGCUCACUAGACUAGUAAGAUCUCACAAAGAUUUGCAAGGAAUUUACAGAAUGAUAUGCAAUGAAUUUAAAUGCAGAAAAUGCAGAGCACACAGAAAGAAAUCUAGAUGAAGUCUUUUUUGAAGAGGGAAACAAAUAUGCAUGAGACAAAUGCAAAAACACAAAAAGAACACAAGAGAACUUCAUCUAGAGAUGGUCGGCGACAAAGUCACCUAUGUUAGAGUAUAUUGACUUAGGAGUCAAGUGAGAUCACUUGAUCAUAGGUCAUACCCAUCGUUUAAGCUCAAAAAUGGGGUUACCAUUUUUCGUUUAAGCAUCUUGAUGUAUUCACAUCUUGUUGAGUUGCUUUAGCUCAUGACUCGGAGUAAAGCUUCUCUAAGAUGGAACAACAUACCUUGGUUGGUGGUGUUGAACAUGUAGUUGAACUUAUGUGGGUUGCUCAAGGUUGAUGUAGCUCAUCAAGAGUUGGGAGCACCACUUGAAAUUCGAGUCCAUCUUCCUAUAUGGGUUAGUUCUUGCAAGGAAGAGUACUUGUGUAUCCAAAAAUGACAAUCAUGAAGCUCAACAUAGAAUUUGUCAAAGGAUAUGCUUGAAUGGUUUCGUGCUUCCUUGUCUUCAACCACCAUAGUGUAGAAACUUGGUGAUGUAGAGAUUGCUCAAGAUGUGAGUAGAUUACAAUCUCAUGGAAUAUGAUUCCACCAAGUACCUACAUGGGUUAGAUAACAUGCAAGAUUCAAAUAUAUCCAAGACAUAAGAUUUUCACCAUAAGAGAAAUAUCAAGGAUUAGUCAUAAGCUCAUGUCUUGCAUGUAUCCAAUGGAGUUUCUACUCCAAGUUUGAAGCAUCAAUGAUGUUCAAUUCUCCUCUUAGCCUGCAAAACACUUUCUCAUCAAGAGGUUUAGUAAAUAUAUCCGCUAAUUGCUUUUUAGUGCAAACAUGCUUAAGAUCAAUGUCACCCUUAGCAACAUGAUCUCGAAUGAAAUGAUGACGAACUUCAAUAUGCUUAGUUCGAGAAUGUUGUACGGGAUUAUGACCAAUUUUGAUAGCACUUUCAUUGUCACAAAGCAAUGGAACAUGUUUCACAUAUAUCCCAUAAUCUUUAAGAGUUUGGGUCAUCCAAAGUAAUUGAGCACAACAUGAACCAGCGGCAAUGUAUUCCGCUUCGGCGGUGGAUAAGGAUACCGAGUUUUGUUUCUUGGAGGACCAAGACACAAGAGAUCUACCAAGAAAUUGACAAGUACCCGAAGUGGAAUUUCUAUCAACCUUGUCUCCGGCAUAGUCCAAGUCGGAGUAGCCAACAAGAUCGAAAGAGGCCCUCUUAGGAUACCAAAUGCCAAAAUUUGGUGUAUGGAUUAAGUAUCUCACUAUCCUUUUCACGGCCUUAAGAUGACAUUCUUUAGGAGCAGCUUGAUAUCGUGCACACAUGCACACACUUAGCAUGAUAUCGGGACGUGAAGCACAUAGAUAUAACAAUGAACCAAUCAUAGAGCGAUAAACCUUUUGAUCAACCGAUUCACCAUCUUUGGUCAAAUCAAGAUGUCCACUAGUAGGCAUGGGUGUAGACAUACCUUUGCAUUCUUGCAUAUUGAACUUCUUGAAUAAGUCCUUGGUGUACUUCGUUUGAGAAACAAAAGUACCCUCCUUAGUUUGCUUGAUUUGCAAUCCAAGAAAGAAUUUGAGUUCACUCAUCAUAGACAUCUCAAACUUCUCCAACAUUAGCUUCCCAAACUUUUCACUAAAAUGAGGGUUAGUUGAACCAAAUAUAAUAUCAUCAACAUAGAUUUGGCACACAAAUAGUUCUCCAUUAACCCUUUUAGUAAAAAGAGUAGAAUCAAUUUUCCCAAUUUCAAAGCCUUUUUCAAUAAGGAACUUGGUCAAGCAUUUAUACCACGCUCUAGGAGCUUGUUUAAGACCAUAAAGAGCUUUGUGAAGUUUGUAAACAUGAUUGGGUUUCUUAGGAUUGACAAAGCCGGGAGGUUGCUUAACAUAAAUUUCCUCCUCAAUUUCACCAUUUAGAAAAGCACUUUUAAUGUCCAUUUGGUACAAGGUGAUAUCAUGAUGAUUAGCAUAGGCAAGUAAGAUGCGAAUGGACUCAAGUCUAGCAACGGGAGCGUAUGUCUCACCAUAGUCCAUACCUUCGACUUGUGUGUAGCCUUGGGCGACGAGACGUGCUUUGUUGCGAACUACUUGUCCAUCUUCAUCUUGCUUGUUGCAAAACACCCAUUUGGUACCGAUGAUGUUGUGGUUGUUGUCGGGCUUCUCAACCAAUGUCCAAACUUGGUUCCUCUCAAAGUUGUGUAGCUCUUCAUGCAUAACAUUUAUCCAAUCCGGAUUUUCCAAUGCUUCUUCAACCUUCAUAGGUUCAAUGCUAGAGAUGAAAGAAUAGUUUUCACAAAAGUUAGCUAAAUGAGUUUUAGAGCGAGUGAUUCUCCCGGUUUGAAUAUCAUUGUAGAUUUGCUCGACGGGAUGAUCUUUAGCAAUUCUUGCUCGAACUCGUGAAAGCUUUUGCUUGGUUCUUGGUUGAACUUCUUCUUUAUCUUGUUCUUCAUCUUGGCCUUCUUCAUUGUUGGCAUUGUCGUUCUCUUGUUGUGGUGGAGAGGGAGGUCGUUGAUGUUCAUCUUGAUGCACUUCCUCAUUUUCUUCAUCUUGGUGUGUCCCACUUGUGGAUGCUUCCGUAUCAACUCUUGGUUCACCUUGUCGUGAAGUAGAAGCUUCCACUUGGACGGACGAGGUACUCUCCUUCAACUCCGUUGAACGAACCUUCCCAAUAGACAAGUCUUAGAUUGCUUCUGACGGAUCUUUGUCUCCUACAUCAAUUGGCAAUUGCUCUACUUGCGAGCCGUUAGUUCAUCAAACUUCACAUCUACCGUCUCUUCAACCUUUCGGGUGAAAUUGUUGUAGACACGGUAAGUGUGAGAGUUUGAGCCAUAACCUAGUAGGAAACCUUCAUGAGACUUAGGAGCAAAUUUAGAACGACGAUGCUUAUCAAGAAUGUAGCACUUUGAGCCGAAUACUUGAAAGUAUCCAACUUGGGGUUUGUUACCGGUGAGGAGCUCGUAUGCCGUCUUGCCGAGUAGCUUGUGAAGAUACAAGCGAUUUGUUGCAUGACAAGCUGUCUCAACCACUUCUGCCCAAAAGUGCUUCGGUGUCUUGUACUCAUCAAGCAUCGUUCUCGCUAUUUCGAUGAGCGUCCGGUUCUUCCUCUCAACAACUCCAUUUUGUUGAGGUGUGUAUGUAGCCGAGAACUCGUGUGAAAUCCCUUCUUCGUCAAGAAAGGUGUCCACAUUUGCGUUUAACUCUGUUCCGUUGUCGCUGCGAACCUUCUUGAUCUUCACUUCAAAUUGAUUUUGGGCCUUCCUAGCGAAGUUUUUGAAGAUCUUUUGGACCUGCGAUUUAUCAUCGAGAAAGAACACACACGUAAAUCUUGAAAAAUCAUCAACUAUAACUAGACCAAAAGAAUUUCCAUCGAGACUCUUGUAGGCGUUGGGACCAAAAAGAUCCAUGUGAAGUAGCUCGAGUGGCCUCCUUGUGGUCAUAAUGUUCUUCACGGGAUGCCUUCCUCCAACCUAUUUACCAGCUUGACAAGCGCUGCAAAGUCUAUCCUUAUCAAAUAUGACAUCGUUAACACCAAGGAUAUGAUUUCCUUUAAUAAGCUUGUCAAGGUUUUGCAUACCAACAUGACCUAGUCGUCUAUGCCAUAACCAACCUUUUGAGGAUUUAGCAAUGAAGCAAGUUUUAGGUUGAGCCUUUUUAGUGAAAUCAACAAUGUAUAGAUCACCUCUACGUAUACCGGUAAAGACCAUUUUAUGAUUGUCUCGACAAAACACUUGGCAAUCUACUUCAGUAAAUAGGACAUUGAAACCGAAAUUAGCAAGUCUAGAUACUGAAAGUAAGUUGUAUCCAAGAGAUUCAAUGAGCAUGACAUUUUGUAUGGAGCUAUCAUGUGAUAUGGCCACCUUACCGAGGCCAACCACCUUACCCUUUGAGUUGUCACCGAAAGUGACAUACUUUCGAGGACCAUCGUUUUCUGCAAGCUCACGAAACAUGUCUUUAUCUCCGGUCAUGUGAUCGGUACAUCCACUAUCAAGAACCCAUUCCUUUCCUCCUGACAUAUAUCCCCGAAGAUUUGCCAUAAGACCAAAGUGUCUCAUUGCAUCAUCAAGAUCGAAGUCACUAUCAUCAUCCUCAUCAUAGUAUCCAUGUUCAACAUCGUCAUGUGGUGGAUCAAAUCCUAGAGAGGGUGAUUCGUUAGAGUGAGUUUGACAAUGAUCUUGCUUAUGAAUUUUUAUAGCUUCGGAAAUAAUAUCACUAAUAAUUCCAACAUCUCCUUUGGCACGCAUAAGGUUUGUAAGCUCAAAUAGACGAUCACCAAACAUAGGAUCACUAGUAUUCAUCUUACUCAAGGCAAUAGACUUAUGGAGAAUUUCAUCUAGAUUUUCAAGGAAUAAUUUAGAAAUCGUUCCUCAAGAAAUUUCCAUAUAGUGUAGGCACACUCAAGAGUAGGCAGGUUUGUAAUCAAGUUUCUAGGCAAGCCUCUAGUGAUAAGAUUAACAAUUCUAAGAUUCCUAAUCAUGUCAAUUGACUCAUCAAGAGUAGGAUGCAUAGGAUCAACAUGAGGUGCACAAGGGCUAGCAAUGUACUUGUUCAAAUGAUAUUGAUUGAAAAUUACAAGCAUCUCAUUUUUCCACUCAUGAAAAUACUCUCCAUCAAGAAUGGGCACUCUAUGUCUAAGACUCCCCAAAGUAGACUCAUCCAUCUUCCUCCAAUGGUGAUUAAACCAAGGCAAUGGAGACCAAUGCUCUGAUACCACUUGUAGGACCUUGAGAAGAGGUGUCUAGAGGGGGGGGGGUGAUUAGACACUAAGUACCAAAGUUGCGAUUUUUAAGAUCUUUAAGUUUAAGUGGAGUUUAGGCACAAGUUUAACAUUCACAAUACAUAACAAGCAAGCAUGCAAAGAGUAUAUGAGCAGCAGAAAGUAAAGCAUGCAACUUGCAAGAAUGUAAAGGGAAGGGUUUGGAGGAUUCAAACACAAUUGGAGACACGGAUGUUUUUGUCGUGGUUCCGAUAGGUGGUGCUAUCGUACAUCCAAGUUGAUGGAGACUUCAACCCACGAAGGGUAACGGUUGCACGAGUCCACGGAGGGCUCCACCCACGAAGGGUCCACGAAGAAGCAACCUUGUCUAUCCCACCAUGGCCGUCGCCCACGAAGGACUUGCCUCACUAGCGGUAGAUCUUCACGAAGUAGGUGAUCUCCUUGCCCUUACAAACUCCUUGGUUCAACUCCACAAUCUUGUCGGAGGCUCCCAAGUGACACCUAGCCAAUCUAGGAGACACCACUCUCCAAGAAGUAACAAAUGGUGCGUUGAUGAUGAACUCCUUGCUCUUGUGCUUCAAAUGAUAGUCUCCCCAACACUCAACUCUCUCUCAUAGGAUUUGGAUCUGGUGGAAAGAAGAUUUGAGUGGAAAGCAACUUGGGGAAGGCUAGAGAUCAAGAUUCAUAUGGUAGGAAUGGAAUAUCUUGGCCUCAACACAUGAGUAGGUAGUUAUCUCUCAGAAAAUGUAUGCUGGAAGUGUAGGUUCAGUUUGAUGGCUCUCUCCACGAACGAAGAGGAGGUGGAGGGGUAUAUAUAGCCUCCCCACAAAAUCUAACCGUUACACGCAACUUGCCAAACUCGGUGGGACCGAAUUGAUAAACUCGGUCGGACCAAUUUAGCAAAUCUAGUGACCGUUAGGAUUUUCGGUGGGACCGAUAUGCAACUCGGUAGGACCGAUAUGGUUAAGGUUAGGGCAUAACGUAAUCUCGGUGAGACCGAUUACACAAACUCGGUUGGACCAAUUUUGGUAAUUAGCUAACCAGAGAGUUGGUCAGGCAAACUCGGUUGGACCGAUUACACAAACUCGGUGGGACCAAUUUUGGUAAUGAGUCUACUAGGAAGUUUGCAUUGUAAUCUCGGUAGUACCGAUUGCUCAAACUCGGUGAGACCGAAUUUGGUAAUGGACACACACAGAGAGAUUACAAUCCCAUCUCAGUGAGACCGAGAUCCCUAUCGGUGAGACCGAUUUGCCUAGGGUUUGUGGCAGUGGCUAAGACAAUUGAACUCGGUGGCGCCGGAUAGAAAGAAUCGGUGGGGCCGAAUUUGACUUUAGGUUUAGGUCAUAUGUGUGGAAAUGGGAAAGUAGUUGAGGGUUUUGGAGCAUAUCACUAAGCACUGUGGAGCAAGAAACUCAUUAAGCAACACCUCAUCCCUUCUUGAUAGUAUUGGCUUUUCCUAUAGACUCAAUGUGAUCUUGGAUCACUAAAAUGUAAAAUGAAGAGUCUUGAGCUUGAAGCUUGAGCCAAUCCUUUGUCCUUAGCAUCUUGAAGGAGUUCCCACAUCCUUUAGUUCAUGCCACUCCAUUGUUGAACUUAUCUGAAACAUACUAGAUAAAAGUGUUAGUCCAACAAGAGAUAUGUUGACAUUAAUUACCAAGACCACCUAGGGAGCACUUGUUCUUUCACAACGCUGCUGGGCUGCUCGUCAGGGGGAACGAACUGCACUAGCCGACCGGCCAGACCAUGACGUCCAACAUGCGGUGGCGCACAUGCCCCUCCUCCUGCCACCCGCGCGACAAAGCCACGCAUUGAAGCCAGAGAGCCUCGGAUCCGGCCCAGUUGGGGCAGAUCUAGGCCAUCGGCGGUGAGGGGAGGCGGUGUGUGUGUGCUGUAGGGCACGGCGAUGGGGGCGAGGGGACUUGGAGGCAGCGAAGUUGCAGUGUUGGCGAGGUAAGGCCAUGGCGCGGCCGGGGAGGAGUCAGGAUGAGGAGGACCUUGGUGGUCGCGACUCUGGUUCUUCACCGACGGAGUAGAAGUAAGGAGGAGAAGGUAGAGUGCUCGAUGAAGGCAAAGGGGAGGUGGCCGUGGCGGAUCCGGUGACGGGGCGUCGCGAGGGCAUCGCCGUGGCCCUGGAUCCGGUGGUGGGAGGAUACCGCGGCCUAGAUCCGGCGGUGGCUGGUACUGGGAGGUGUCCCGGGGGCACGAGGACCAGCACGGCUCGCACGCGGGGGGAGGAAGGCCGCGUCGGGGCUGUGGCAGUUCGGCGUGGGAAGGGCAGGACGAGUGGAAGGUUGAGGGAGGUGGGGCGGAUUGGGGAUGGGCGGUGGGGGGCGUUGAAGGAAAUAUGGCCGAGAGGCAAUAAUAAAGUUAUUAUUUAUUUCCUUAUAUCAUGAUAAAUGUUUAUUAUUCAUGCUAGAAUUGUAUUAACCGGAAACAUAAUACAUGUGUGAAUACAUAGACAAACUUAAUGUCACUAGUAUGCCUCUACUUGACUAGCUCAUUAAUCAAAGAUGGUUAUGUUUCCUAACCAUAGACAUGAGUUGUCAUUUGAUUAACAGGAUCACAUCAUUCGUAGAAUGAUGUGAUUGACAUGACCCAUUCCGUUAGCUUAGUACUUGAUCGUUUAGUAUGUUGCUAUUGCUUUCUUCAUGACUUAUACAUGUUCCUAAAACUAUGAGAUUAUGCAACUCCCGUUUACCGGAGGAACACUUUAUGUGCUACCAAACGUCACAACAUAACUGGGUGAUUAUAAAGGAGCUCUACAGGUGUCCCCAAAGGUACAUGUUGACUUGGCGUAUUUCGAGAUUAGGUUUUGUCACUCCGAUUGUCGGAGAGGUAUCUCUGGGCCCUCUCGGUAAUGCACAUCACUAUAAGCCUUGCAAGCAAUGUAACUAAUGAGUUAGUUACGGGAUGAUGCAUUACAUAACGAGUAAAUAGACUUGCCGGUAAUGAGAUUGAACUAGGUAUUGAGAUACCGAGGAUCGAAUCUCGGGCAAGUAACAUACCGAUGACAAAGGGAGCAACGUAUGUUGUUAUGCGGUUUGACCGAUAAAGAUCUUCGUAGAAUAUGUAGGAGCCAAUAUGAGAAUCCAGGUUCCGCUAUUGGUUAUUGACCGGAAACGUGUCUCGGUCAUGUCUACAUAGUUCUCGAACCCGUAGGGUCCGCACGCUUAAGGUUUCGAUGACAGUUAUAUUAUGAGUUUAUGAGUUUUGAUGUACCGAAGGUUGUUCGCAGUCCUAGAUGUGAUUACGGACAUGACGAGGAGUCUCUAAAUGGUUGAGACAUGAAGAUUGAUAUAUUGGAAGUCUAUAUUUGGAUAUCAGAAGUGUUCCAGGUGAAAUCGGGAUUUUACCGGAGUACCGGGAGGUUACCGGAACCCCUCGGGGGCUUAAUGGGCCAUAGUGGGCCUUAGUGGAGAAGAGGAGAGGAGGCCAGGGCAGGGCCACGCACCCCUCCCCCCUAGUCCAAAUAGGACAAGGAGAGGGGGGGCGGCGCCCCCUUUUCCUUCCUCUCUCUCCCUCCUCUUUCCCCCCUUCUCCAAGUCCAACAAGGAAGGAGGGAGUCCUACUCCCGGUGGGAGUAGGACUCCCCUUGGCGCAUCUCCUCCCUAGCCGGCCGCCCCCUCCCCCCUUGCUCCUUUAUAUACGGGGGCAGGGGGCACCUCUAGACACAACAAUUGAUCUCUUGAUCUCUUAGCCGUGUGCGGUGCCCCCCUCCACCAUAGUCCUCCUCGGUAAUAUUGUAGCGGUGCUUAGGCGAAGCCCUGCGAUGGUAGAACAUCAAGAUCGUCACCACGCCAUCAUGCUGACGGAACUCUCCCUCGACACUUGGCUGGAUUGGAGUUCGAGGGACGUCAUCGAGCUGAAUGUGUGCUAGAACUCGGAGGUGCCGUAGUUUCGGUGCUUGAUUGGUCGGGCCGUGAAGACGUACGACUACAUCAACCGCGUUGUUCUAACGGUUCGGUCUACGAGGGUACGUGGACGACACUCUCCCCUCUCGUUGCUAUGCAUCACCAUGAUCUUGCACGUGCGUAGGAAUUUUUUUGAUAUUACUGCGUUCCCCAAUAGUGGCAUCCGAGCCAGGUUUUAUGCGUAAAUGUUAUAUGCACGAGUAGAACACAAGUGAGUUGUGGGCGAUACAAGUCAUACUGCUUAGCAGCAUGUCAUACUUUGGUUCGGCGGUAUUGUUGGAUGAAGUGGCCCGGACCGACAUUACGCAUACGCUUACGCGAGACUGGUUCUACCGACGUGCUUUGCACACAGGUGGCUGGCGGGUGUCAGUUUGUCCAACUUUAGUUGAACCGAGUGUGGCUACGCCCGGUCCUUGCGAAGGUUAAAACAACACUAACUUGACGAACUAUCGUUGUGGUUUUGAUGCGUAGGUAAGAACGGUUCUUGCUCAGCCCAUAGCAGCCACAUAAAAUUUGCAACAACAAAGUAGAGGACAUUUAACUUGUUUUUGUAGGGCAUGUUGUGAUGUGAUAUGGUCAAGACGUGAUGCUAUAUUUUAUUGUAUGAGAUGAUCAUGUUUUGUAACCGAGUUAUCGGCAACUGGCAGGAGCCAUAUGGUUGUCGCUUUAUUAUAUGAAAUGCAAGCGCCCUGUAAUUGCUUUACUUUAUCACUAAGCGGUAGCGAUAGUCGUAGAAGCAAUAGGUGGCAAAACGACAACGAUGCUACGAUGGAGAUCAAGGUGUCGCGCCGGUGACGAUGGUGAUCACGACGGUGCUUCGGAGAUGGAGAUCACAAGCACAAGAUGAUGAUGGCCAUAUCAUAUCACUUAUAUUGAUUGCAUGUGAUGUUUAUCCUUUAUUCAUCUUAUUUUGCUUUGAUUGACGGUAGCAUUAUAAGAUGACCUCUCACUAAAUUUCAAGAAGUGUUCUCCCUGAGUAUGCACUGUUACGAAAGUUCUUCGUGCUGAGAUGCCACGUGAUGAUCGGGUGUGAUAGGCUCUACGUUCAAAUACAACGGGUGCAAAACAGUUGCACACGCGGAAUACUCAGGUUAAACUUGACGAGCCUAGCAUAUACAUAUAUGGCCUCGGAACACGGAGACCGAAAGGUCGAACAUGAAUCAUAUAGUAAAUAUGAUCAACAUAGUGAUGUUCACCAUUGAAAACUACUCCAUCUCACGUGAUGAUUGGACAUGGUUUAGUUGAUUUGGAUCACGUGAUCACUUAGAUGACUAGAGAGAUGUCUGUCUAAGUGGAAGUUCUUUAGUAAUAUGAUUAAUUGAACUUAAAUUUAUCAUGAACUUAGUACCUGAUAGUACUUUGCUUGUCUAUGUUUGUUGUAGAUAGAUGACUCGUGUUGUUGUUCCGUUGAAUUUUAAUGCGUUCCUUGAGAAAGCUAAGUUGAAAGAUGAUGGUAGCAAUUACACGGGCUGGGUCCAUAACUUGAGGAUUAUCCUCAUUGCUGCACAGAAGAAUUACGUCAUGGAAGCACCGAUGGGUGCUAGGCCUGCUGCAGAUGCAACUGACUACGUUAAGAACGUCUGGCAGAGCAAAGCUGAUGACUACUCGAUACUUCAGUGUGCCAUGCUUUACGGCUUAGAACUGGGACUUCAACAAUGUUUUGAACGUCAUGGAGCAUAUGAUAUGUUCCAGGAGUGUAAGUUAAUAUUUCAAGCAAAUGCCCGGAUUGAGAGAUAUGAAGUCUCCAAUAAGUUCUAUAGCUGCAAGAUGGAAGAGAAUAGUUCUAUUAGUGAACAUAUACUCAAAAUGUCUGGGUAUAAUAAUCACUUGAUUCAACUGGGAGUUGAUCUUCCUGAUGAUAGUGUCAUUGACAGAAUUCUUCAAUCACUGCCACCAAGCUACAAGAGCUUCGUGAUGAACUAUAAUAUGCAAGGGAUGGACAAGACUAUUCCUGAGCUCUUUGCAAUGCUAAAGGUUGCGGAGGUAGAAAUCAAGAAGGAUCAUCAAGUGUUGAUGGUCAAUAAGACCACCAGUUUCAAGAAAAAGGGUAAAGGGAAGAAGAAAGGGAACUUCAAGAAGAACAGCAAACAAGUUGCUGCUUAAGAGAAUAAACCCAAAUCUGGACCUAAGCCUGAGACUGAGUGCUUCUACUGCAAGCAGACUGGUCACUGGAAGCGGAACUGCCCCAAGUAUUUGGCGGAUAAGAAGGAUGGCAAGGUGAACAAAGGUAUAUGUGAUAUACAUGUUAUUGAUGUGUAACUUACUAAUGCUCGCAGUAGCACCUGGGUAUUUGAUACUGGUUCUGUUGCUAAUAUUUGCAACUUGAAACAGGGACUACGGAUUAAGCGAAGAUUGGCUAAGGACAAGGUGAUGAUGCGCGUGGGAAAUGGUUCCAAAGUCGAUGUGAUCGCGGUCGGCACGCUACCUCUACAUCUACCUUCGGGAUUAGUUUUAGACCUGAAUAAUUGUUAUUUGGUGCCAGCAUUGAGCAUGAACAUUAUAUCUGGAUCUUGUUUGAUGCGAGACGGUUAUUCAUUUAAAUUAGAGAAUAAUGGUUGUUCUAUUUAUAUGAGUAAUAUCUUUUAUGGUCAUGCACCCUUGAAGAGUGGUCUAUUUUUAUUAAAUCUCGAUAGUAGUGAUACACAUAUUCAUAAUGUUGAAGCCAAAAGAUGCAGAGUUGAUAAUGAUAGUGCAACUUAUUUGUGGCACUGCCGUUUGGGUCAUAUUGGUGUAAAGCGCAUGAAGAAACUCCAUAUUGAUGGACUUCUGGAAUCACUUGGUACUUGCGAACCGUGCCUCAUGGGCAAGAUGACUAAAACGUCGUUCUCCGGAACUAUGGAGCGAGCAACAGACUUGUUGGAAAUCAUACAUACUGAUGUAUGUGGUCCGAUGAACGUUGAGGCUCGCGGCGGAUAUUGUUAUUUUCCCACCUUCACAGAUGAUUUGAGCAGAUAUGGGUAUAUCUACUUAAUGAAACACAAGUCUGAAACAUUUGAAAAGUUCAAAGAAUUUCAGAGUGAAGUAGAAAAUCAUCGUAACAAGAAAAUAAAGUUUCUACGAUCUGAUCGUGGAGGACAAUAUUUGAGUUACGAGUUUGGUUUACAUUUGAAACAAUGCGGAAUAGUUUCGCAACUCACGCCACCCGGAACACGACAACGAAAUGGUGUGUCCAAGCGUCGUAAUCGUACUUUACUAGAUAUGGUGCGAUCUAUGAUGUCUCUUAAUGAUUUGCCGCUAUCGUUUUGGGGUUAUGCUUUAGAGACGGCCACAUUCACAUUAAAUAGGGCACCAUCAAAAUCCAUUGAGACGACGCCUUAUGAACUGUGGUUUGGCAAGAAACCAAAGUUGUCAUUUCUUAAAGUUUGGGGCUGCGAUGCUUAUGUGAAGAAACUUCAACCAGAUAAGCUCGAACCCAAAUCGGAGAAAUGUGUCUUCAUAGGAUACCCAAAAGAGACUAUUGGGUACACCUUCUAUCACAGAUAUGAAGGCAAGACUUUUGUUGCUAAAUUUGGAUCCUUUCUAGAGAAGGAGUUUCUCUCGAAAGAAGUGAGUGGGAUGAAAGUAGAACUUGAUGAGGUAACUAUACCUGCUCCCUUAUUGGAAAAUAGUUCAUCAUAGAAACCGGUUCCUGUGACAACUACACCAAUCAGUGAGGAAGCUAAUGAUAUUGAUCAUGGAACUUCAGAUCAAGUUACUAUAGAAACUCGUAGGUCAUCCAGAGUAAGAUCCGCUCCAGAGUGGUACGGUAAUCCUAUUCUGGAAGUCAUGUUACUUAACCAUGGCGAACCUACGAACUAUGAGGAAGCGAUGAUGAGCCCAGAUUCCGCAAAAUGGCUUGAGGCCAUGAAAUCUGAGAUGGGAUCCAUGUAUGAGAACAAAGUAUGGACUUUGGUUGACUUGCCCAAUGAUCAGCAAACCAUCGAGAAUAAAUGUAUCUUCAAGAAGAAGACUGACGAUGAUGGUAAUGUAACUAUCUACAAAGCUCGACUUGUUGCGAAAGGUUUUCGACAAGUUCAAGGGGUUGACUACGAUGAUACUUUCUCACCCAUAGCGAUGCUUAAGUCUGUCUGAAUCAUGUUAGGAAUUGACGCAUUUUAUGAUUAUGAAAUAUGGCAAGUGGAUGUCAAAACUACAUUCCUGAAUGGAUUUCUGGAAGAAGAGUUGUAUAUGAUGCAACCAGAAGGUUUUGUCGAUCCAAAAGGUGCUAACAAAGUGUGCAAGCUCCAACGAUCCAUUUAUGGACUAGUGCAAGCCUCUCGGAGUUGGAAUAAAUGAUUUGAUAGUGUGAUCAAAGCAUAAGGUUUUAUACAGACUUUUGGAGAAACCUCUAUUUACAAGAAAGUGAGUGGGAGCUCUGUAGCAUUUAUAAUAUUAUAUGUAGACGACAUAUUGUUAAUUGGAAAUGAUAUAGAAUUUCUGGAUAGCAUAAAAGGAUACUUGAAUAAAAGUUUUUCAAUGAAAGACCUCGGUGAAGCUGCUUACAUAUUAGGCAUCAAGAUCUAUAGAGAUAGAUCAAGACGCUUAAUUGGACUUUCACAAAGCACAUUCCUUGAUAAAGUUUUGAAAAAGUUCAAAAUGGAUCAAGCAAAGAAAGGGUUCUUGCCUGUAUUACAAGGUGUGAAGUUGAGUCAGACUCAAUGCCCGACCACAGUAGAAGAUAGAGAGAAAAUGAAAGAUGUUCCCUAUGCUUCAGCCAUAGGCUCUAUCAUGUAUGCAAUGCUGUGUACCAGACCUGAUGUAUGCUUAGCAAUAAGUUUAGCAGGGAGGUACCAAAGUAAUCCAGGAGUGGAUCACUAGACAGCGGUCAAGAACAUCCUGAAAUACCUGAAAAGGACUAAGAAUAUGUUUCUCGUUUAUGGAGGUGACAAAGAGCUAGUCGUGAAUGGUUACGUCGAUGCAAGCUUUGACACUGAUCCGGACGAUUCUAAAUCGCAAACCGGAUAUGUGUUUAUAUUAAAUGGUGGGGCUGUCAGUUGGUGCAGUUCUAAACAAAGCGUCGUGGCGGGAUCUACAUGCGAAGCGGAGUACAUAGCUGCUUCGGAAGCAGCAAAUGAAGGAGUCUGGAUGAAGGAGUUCAUUUCCGAUCUAGGUGUCAUACCUAGUGCAUUGGGACCAAUGAAGAUCUUCUGUGACAAUAUUGGUGCAAUUGCCUUGGCAAAGGAAUCCAGAUUUCACAAGAGGACCAAGCACAUCAAGAGACGCUUCAAUUCCAUCCGGGACCAAGUCCAGGUGGGAGACAUAGAGAUUUGCAAGAUACAUACAGAUCUGAAUGUUGCAGACCCGUUGACUAAGCCUCUCCCACGAGCAAAACAUGAUCAACACCAAGGCUCCAUGGGUGUUAGAAUCAUUACUAUGUAAUUUAGAUUAUUGACUCUAGUGCAAGUGGGAGACUGAAGGAAAUAUGCCCUAGAGGCAAUAAUAAAGUUAUUAUUUAUUUCCUUAUAUCAUGAUAAAUGUUUAUUAUUCAUGCUAGAAUUGUAUUAACCGGAAACAUAAUACAUGUGUGAAUACAUAGACAAACUUAAUGUCACUAGUAUGCCUCUACUUGACUAGCUCAUUAAUCAAAGAUGGUUAUGUUUCCUAACCAUAGACAUGAGUUGUCAUUUGAUUAGCGGGAUCACAUCAUUAGUAGAAUGAUGUGAUUGACAUGACCCAUUCCGUUAGCUUAGUACUUGAUCGUUUAGUAUGUUGCUUUUGCUUUCUUCAUGACUUAUAGAUGUUCCUACAACUAUGAGAUUAUGCAACUCCCGUUUACCGGAGGAACACAUUGUGUGCUACCAAACAUCACAACGUAACUGGGUGAUUAUAAAGGAGCUCUACACGUGUCUCCAAAGGUACAUGUUGAGUUGGCGUAUUUCGAGAUUAGGUUUUGUCACUCCGAUUGUCGAAGAGGUAUCUCUGGGCCCUCUCGGUAAUGCACAUCACUAUAAGCCUUGCAAGCAAUGUAACUAAUGAGUUAGUUACGGAAUGAUGCAUUACAUAACGAGUAAAGAGACUUGCCCGUAACGAGAUUGAACUAGGUAUUGAGAUACCGACGAUCGAAUCUCGGGCAAGUAACAUACCGAUGACAAAGGGAACAACGUAUGUUGUUAUGCGGUUUGACCGAUAAAGAUCUUCGUAGAAUAUGUAGGAGCCAAUAUGAGCAUCCAGGUUCUGCUAUUGGUUAUUGACCGGAAACAUGUCUCGAUCAUGUCUACAUAGUUCUCGAACCCAUAGGGUCCGCAUGCUUAAGGUUUCGAUGAUAGUUAUAUUAUGAGUUUAUGAGUUUUGAUGUACUGAAGGUAGUUCAGAGUCCUGGAUGUGAUUACGGACAUGACGAGGAGUCUCGAACUGGUCGAGACAUGAAGAUUGAUAUAUUGGAAGUAUAUAUUUGGAUAUCGGAAGUGUUCCGGGUGAAAUCGGGAUUUUACCGGAGUAUCGGGAGGUUACCGGACCCCCCGGGGGCUUAAUGGGCCAUAGUGGGCCUUAGUGGAGAAGAGGAGAGGAGGCGAGGGCAGGGCCGCGCGCCCCUCCCCCCUAGUCUGAAUAGGACAAGGAGAGGGGGGCGGCGCCCCCCCCCCUUUUCCUUCCUCUCUCUCCCUCCUCUUUCCCCCCUUCUCCAAGUCCAACAAGGAAGGAGGGAGUCCUACUCCCGGUGGGAGUAGGACGCCCCUUGGCGCGCCUCCUCCCUGACCGGUCGCCCCCCUGCUCCUUUAUAUACAGGGGCAGGGGGGCACCUCUAGACACAACAAUUGAUCUCUUGAUCUCUUAGCCGUGUGCUGUGCCCCCCUCCACCAUAGUCCUCCUCGAUAAUAUUGUAGCGGUGCUUAGGUGAAGCCCUGCGACGAUAGAACAUCAAGAUCAUCACCACGCUGUCGUGUUGACGGAACUCUCCCUCGAUACUCGGCUAGAUAGGAGUUCGAGGGACGUCAUCGAGCUGAACGUGUGCUAGAACUCGGAGGUGCCGUAGUUUCGGUGCUUGAUCGGUCGGGCCGUGAAGACGUACGACUACAUCAACCGCGUUGUUCUAACGCUUCCGCUUUCGAUCUACGAGGGUACGUGGACGACACUCUCCCCUCUCGUUGCUAUGGAUCACCAUGAUCUUGCGUGUGCGUAGGAUUUUUUUUGAAAUUACUACGUUCCCCAAUAGGCAUUCAGGGUGGUUGGGUGGGCAGAGGAGGAAGAAGGUGGGGUGGGGGAUUAUCGAUGGCUUUUUUAUGCGUGCAGUUCACCCCGGAGUUUUUAUGCGAAGGGCAAGUGUUAGCUGAAUAAGUGGGUGUUAGCAGAAUAACACUCUUAAGGGGUGUUAGCAGAAUAAGACUCUUAAGGGGUGUUAUCAUAAUAGACCCACCCUAUAUAAGCGGGUGUUAGCAGAAUAAGCGGGUGUUAGCAGAAUAGUGGAAUUGGGGAAGUUUUGGAGGUGGAGGCCAGAGCGGAUGGCGAGGCAGUGGGUAAAUACCUCCGGGUUAAGGUUAGAAUGGGCGUUAAAGAACCGCUGAUGAGAGGGAUCAAGGUGGAGCAAGAGGAGGAGGGAGAGGGCGCUCAGAGUCAUGCUGCAGGGAAGAAACCCAUCCAUGAGGAAGAUGACAUUUGUUGGUGCCCUUUUCAAUAUGAAUUCCUACCUGGAUUUUGUUAUGUGUGUGGCAUUUUGGGACACGAAGACAAGUUGUGUAAGGUGAAACUAAAACGUGGGGAUAAAGCACAGUUUGGUCCAUGGAUGAGAGCCUUCAUGCCACGGCGAAGUGGGGGAGGGGCUCGUGGAAGAUGGGGCAAAGGGGGAGCGGGUCAUAAUGGUAGAUUUGCAGGCAGUAGAAGCCAGGGUGCGUUGCAUGGGCGAUCUUCGUCAGGCAGUGACACAUCAUCUUGGCGAAAAAAAUUCAAGGAGCGGUGGUGGUGCAGUGGAGGAGGAAGAGAAGGGACAGGAGGUGACGAGUCCUUUAAAGUUACCAAGUACAGGAGCCCUGGGAACGUGUGUUGGUGGUGGAGUAGCAAAACAAUUAUUGUUUGAGCCAUCAAAUCAGAAUAUACAAAAUGAAAGGGAAGGAGAGGAGGGAAGGAACAAAUCCCGAGAAGAAUACAUUCAAAGACAAAGUGAUCCUGUGGAGGGGACCCAGAGUGCACAUGAUGGGUGGGGCACGGAAGGCGAGGCCAUGCAGACUGCACUUUCCAUGCAGAUUGACGUAGUCCCUCCCCCGUUUCGUCAUACGCAACAGGAUGUAGCAGCCGGGGAGAGGGAGAGUUCAGAUGCACAACUCGACAAGUAUGUUGGCACCUACAAAAAGAAGGGUAGGGGGCAGGAAAGGGUUCUGCCUGCACAAAAUUUGGAGAAUAUAUCUGGUUUUAAGAGGGCAUCUGAGGUUCGUGAAGAGGAUGGAGAAGAGACUACAAAGAUAUUGAAGCAGAAGGAGGGGUACACCAAGGGGAGUGAGGAGACUAUUAACUUUGACCAGAUUGCGGGGCUGCCAGGACAGCCCUGCAGGACCCAAUGAAGAUUAUAGUGUGGAACUGCCGGGGAUUGGGGAACAGGCCGGCAGUUUGUGGUCUUCUGGAUAUCCAGAAGAGGGAGGACCCCGAUAUUUUGUUUUUAUCAAAAACAAAGAUGAAUAAAGAGAGGAUGGGCAGUUUUAGGGAUAUGUUAGGUUUACAUCAUAUGGUGGCUCAAGAUAAUAAAGGGAAGAGCGGUGGCUUAUCACUGUUCUGGAGGAGAGGAAUCAAUGUGACAAUAAGGUGGAUGGGCAGAAUGCACAUUGAUGCUAUUGUGGAGGAGAAAGAUGGCUUCAAAUGGCGGUUGACUGGUGUGUACAGAGAAUCACACGUGGCCAAUAAGGGUGAGACUUGGCGGCUACUAAGGACGCUCCACCAUCAAGUUCAGCUUCCGUGGGUGUGCAUGGGCGACUUCAAUGAGAUCCUCUUUAACCAUGAGAAGCAAGGGGGGGCUCCCUGCUCCCAUAGAUGUAUGCAAAGUUUUCGAGAUGCUCUGGAUUUUUGUAACUUGCAUGACCUCGGUUUCGAGGGAGAUGUUUUUACGUGGAGGAAUAAAAACUACCGGGUUGAUGGCUAUAUUCAUGAAAGACUAGACAGGGUUGUAGCGACACCGGAGUGGCAUGCUCGUUUUCCGGCUUAUAAAGUGGUUAAUGGUGAUCCAAGAAAGUCAGACCAUCGGCCCAUCACACUUUCCCUUGAUGGUAGACCCAGACCGAGGCGCUGUGGGGGUGGAGGGAGUGGUGAACGCCUGUUGCGGUUUGAGGCCCGGUGGCUGUUAUAAGAGAAGUGUGAUGAUAUCGUGAAGGAAGCUUGGGACGGGGAGAGGGGGGAGGAUGCCUGGGGGAAGUUGAAGGUAGUGGUUAAGGCUCCCAAUACAUGGAGCUGGGAUGUUUUGGGCGAUCUAGGAAAGAGGAUCAGGAAGUUGAGGAGUGAGUUGGAGGCUAUUAGGAGGGAACCCAUUUCUGAUAGUCAGGUGAGGAGGGAGCAAACUAUCAGUUUUAAGUUGGAUCGUCUUGAGGAGCAGGAAGAUUUGGUUUGGAGGCAACAAGCCCAUGUCAAUUGGCUUGUUUAUGGGGACCGUAACACUAAAUUCUUUCAAGCCUUUGCCUCGGAGCGGAAGAGGAAGAACUCCAUCCAUAGACUGAGGAAGGAUAAUGGGGAGGUUGUGGAGAGUGAGGAGGGGAUGAAGGAGCUCGUCACUAACUAUUUUUCUUCUCUUUUUACCUCUGUGGCAGGAGAUAAUACAAGUGAUAUACUAAACCAUAUAGCUCCAAGGGUAACCGACCAAAUGAAUGCACAUUUGUUGGCUGAGUUUACCAAGGAUGAAGUGAAAGCGGCCCUGGAUGACAUCGGUGAUCUCAAAGCACCGGGAAUGGAUGGCCUACCUGCAAUUUUCUAUAAGCACUAUUGGCACCUUGUCGGAGAAGAGGUGACGCGGGAGGUGUUGCAUGUGUUGCGAGGCGGCAGUAUGCCGGAGGGAUGGAACGAUACCCUUGUGGUUCUUAUCCCAAAGGUUCAAAACCCUGAACAUCUGAAGGAUCUUCGCCCUAUUAGCCUUUGCAACGUCGUGUACAAGCUCAUGUCCAAAGUCCUGGCAAAUCGGCUAAAAUGCAUUUUGGGAGAGAUCAUUUCACCAAACCAGAGUGCCUUUGUGCCGGGACGUUUAAUCUCAGAUAACACUAUAGUGGCCUAUGAGAUGACACAUUUUUUGAAGAGGAAGCGGAUGGGCAGCACGGCAUAUGCUGUGUUUAAACUAGACAUGAGCAAAGCGUAUGAUCGCGUCGAAUGGGACUUUUUGGAGAAGGUGAUGAGGCAGGGGGUUCACCGAGCAGUUUGUGCAGCUAAUCAGUACGUGUAUCAGAUCAGUACGAUUCAGUUUCAAGAUUAAUAGCUCCUGCACUGACCUAGUCAUCCCGGAGCGGGGCCUUCGUCAGGGCGAGCCCAUCUCCCCCUACCUAUUUUUGAUUUGUGCCGAGGGGUUGUCAGCUCUGUUGCACCAUGCGGAGCAGGUUAGGCAGAUCAAGGGCAUUCAGUUGGCGGCUCAGGCACCCCCCAUUAGCCACCUGCUUUUUGCUGAUGACUCGCUGCUACUACUGGAGGCAACACCGGAAAGCAUUGUGGCUGUAAAUCACAUCCUGCAUGUUUACGAGCAGGGUUCAGGCCAAGUCAUUAAUCGAGACAAGUCAGCGGUCCUUUUCAGCAGGAAUACUUCCUCGGCCAAAAAACAUGUUCUGCUAACUGCUUUAGGACUUCGGUCGGAAAGCUUGCAUGGCAAAUACCUGGGCCUGCCGAGCUACGUGGGUCGUUCCCGCCAGAAAUGCUUUGAGUACUUGCGUGACAAAAUUUGGGAAAUCCUUAAGGGAUGGAAGAUCAAGUUGCUCUCGAAAGCUGCAAAAGAGAUCCUUAUUAAAACAGUCAUUCAAGCUAUCCCCACUUACGCUAUGGCUUGUUUUGAUCUUACUAAAGAGCUUUGCGGGAGCAUUAGUGCCAUGGUGUGCAAAUUUUGGUGGUCUAACCAGGAGGAGGAAAAUAAGCAUCAUUGGAUUAGUUGGGAGAGGAUGUGCUUACCGAAGGACCAAGGUGGGCUCGGAUUCAGGGAUCUGCACACGUUCAAUGUUGCCAUGCUUGCUCGUCAAGUGUGGCGACUCACCCAGGCUCCAGAGUCCCUCUGUGCAAAAAUUUUGAAGGCAAAGUACUUCCCCGAUUGCGAUAUUCUGGAUGCUUCUGCUAAAGCUGGAAUGAGCUAUGUGUGGCGUAGUAUCUUACAGGGUCUGGAGGUUGUAAAGGCCGGGAUGAUCUGGAGGGUUGGAUCGGGGGAGAACAUCCAUAUAUGGCCCGACCCGUGGUUACCGUCUAAUGACACGAGGAGGCCCAGUACGCUGCAAGGGGGUCACUUGCUUACGAGAGUGUCUGAACUCAUUGACCCAAUGACAAACCGAUGGGAUCAGCAACUAGUCUCACAAACUUUUACGCCGGUCGAUGCACGUACAGUCCUGGCUAUUCCCAUCCGCGACCAAUACGAGGAUUUUGUGGCUUGGCACUUUGACAAGAGAGGCAUGUUUUCCAUUCGAUCUGCAUACCGGGUGUAUAUGGACCUGAAGCUGCAGCAGAACACCAGGCAAAGAGGCGAGAAUAUUGAUGGAAGUCAGCAUAGUACAAGGUUCUGGAACAAACUAUGGCGCCUCCGGUGUCCGGCACAUGUGCAUCAUUUUCUGUGGCGCUUGGCCCAGAAUAGUCACCCGCUACUCCGCAACGUUGAACGGCUAGGAGUUGAACUUGAUACAUCCUGCAUCCUGUGUGGCCGGUUUGCGGAGAACGGAGGGCAUCUAUUCUUACGAAGCAAGGAAGUGAAGAAGGCGUGGAGAGAGUGUGUUCUUGAUCAUCUCAGAAAAGAUCUCCUGGCUAUGCAAUCCCCCCAAGCCAUGCUGGAGGUUAUCUUUAAACUCCCUGACGAGCUGAUACUGAGAGUCGCUAGCCUCCUGUGGUCGUGGUGGUCCAAGAGGAACAAAGCUAAUCAUAAAAAAUAGAGACUAACACCGGAGGCUUUCGACGCAAAGGUGCGUCAUGAUGUGGUUGAAUGGACCGAAUUCCUCGGGGAGAAGAACCAGGGCUCACCCACGCCGACAGCUUGCUGGAACCCCCCGCCUGCUGACUAUGUUAAGAUCAACUUCGAUGCGUCAUUUCAUGUGGUUACAGGGUCAGCAAGCUGGGGCGCCAUUGCCCGAGACUCUGAUGGUCAGAUGUUGUUAGCUGCGGCAGGGGGCCUUCGGGAUAUGCAGGAUGCCAUGCAUGUGGAAACUGCUGCUUUGCUCAAGGCCAUCGAGGUUGCUGGACAUUUUGGUAUGGGGAGGGUGAUUUUCCAGACCGAUUGCCUCCUCUUGCAACAAGCAACUACAUCCUCGUUUUUAGACCAUAACCCCCUUGGUGUCCUGUUUAGAGAAGCUAAGUUCCAGAUGCAACAAGAGUUCAUAGCUGCCUCUGUAGUUUUCCAGCCAAGGGAGUGCAACAAGCCAGUGCAUGUGUUGGCUGCCUCUAUCAAUCGGAACUUUCCAAAUAGCCAAUCUGUUUGGCUUUCGGAAUUUCCAGUCGAAGUAACCCGUGUUGUGGCCGCCGAUUUGGUCGGUCCGCCGUAAUCUUGGAAUGCUAGGUGUUCCAGUUCAAAAAAAAAGAAUAGUACUACUCUCUCUCUCUCUCUCUAUAUAUAUAUAGUAGCACUAUUCUAAUCCCGGGAUCAAAAUAGUUAUUUGGAUCACGAUCAGUCCUAUAUAGGGCUCUGUCGGGCCUCCCGAACUCCAGAAAACGCAAAAAACAAAACACCCGACCGACCCAUUCCCACCCCCACCUCCUCCUCCCGCACCGCAUCACCUCUUCCUGGAUCUCCCGACCACCUCCCGCCGCCUCCCCCUGACUCCGGUGCGGCUCCCGCCGCCGGCCCCUCGGCCCCAGCGCACCACCCCCGCCGCCGCCCCCGACCUCGCCGCCUCUCCUGCCGCCGACCAACAGACCUGAACGCCNNNNNNNNNNNNNNNNNNNNNNNNNNNNNNNNNNNNNNNNNNNNNNNNNNNNNNNNNNNNNNNNNNNNNNNNNNNNNNNNNNNNNNNNNNNNNNNNNNNNNNNNNNNNNNNNNNNNNNNNNNNNNNNNNNNNNNNNNNNNNNNNNNNNNNNNNNNNNNNNNNNNNNNNNNNNNNNNNNNNNNNNNNNNNNNNNNNNNNNNNNNNNNNNNNNNNNNNNNNNNNNNNNNNNNNNNNNNNNNNNNNNNNNNNNNNNNNNNNNNNNNNNNNNNNNNNNNNNNNNNNNNNNNNNNNNNNNNNNNNNNNNNNNNNNNNNNNNNNNNNNNNNNNNNNNNNNNNNNNNNNNNNNNNNNNNNNNNNNNNNNNNNNNNNNNNNNNNNNNNNNNNNNNNNNNNNNNNNNNNNNGGCACACACCCCCCCCACACACACACACGCUGCCGGCCACCAGAGCCGCCACCCCCAGUCAUGAGCUCCGCCGCCGCCGGCCUAGCCCCUACGCCACCUCUUCUCGUCGGCGUUCGUCUGCGAGAUCCCGCCUGCAGCAGUCGUCGGAUCCCGCUUCCGCACACUGGAUCGUGGGUGCCUUGUUCCUCCACGAGCCUGGAUCCAUGGCCACUGGUCAGAUCCAAGAUGGAUGUAGGGGCUCCCCCACGCGCCCCGGUGUUGGCUACUCCGUUCCUCAACGACCCACGCUGCUCUCCGCUCGCCCCCUGUCUCCCCUUGCUUCCUCUACUCACUAUCCCGGGCGCCGGUGGAUGAGGCUACCUACAGGUGCAAUGCCUGACUGCUCAACAUCGAUAGUCCCUCUCCAGUGCACCUUCCAGCAGCCACACCAUCGUUGAACUCCAUGUGUCGGUCGUGCAGGUCCGCCUUCUACCCAUAUGUGUGGCUGCAACAAGCUGCAGCGAACACCGCUCCUCUGCUCUCUCGUGAACUUCAGAUGCAUCAGUGUUUGGACCAUGGAGGAAUUUUAUCUGGGAGGCAUUCCGUGGAGAGAGAGACGCUGCAACCAUUUCUUCUUGUGGAUAUUUGCACGUUGUUGCCUUUCUGUUCUUGUAGCACAACCGCGAAGCUAAAUUCUGUUCUUGUAGCACAACUGCAAAGCUGAAGAAAAUUUUAAAGGUUGAGAUUUCACGGACAGGAACUUGAUCACUUCUCAUUCUUCUUCCCACUCAAAAAUAGUGUGUAUUUGUUUGUCUGGUAGUGUGCUCGUGCAAAAUGCAUGCGUGCAUUGUUUUUCUCAUUCCUGAAAAAAAUGAGUGUGUUUAUGUUGGUUUAACAAGAUACCAAUGCAAGGGAGUAGUUCUAUGUCUAUGGAAAACCCAAAAUUCUUUCUCUUUCUAAGAGAAAUAAAAGUAUGAAGUUCAAUUUAAAAAAUACUUGAUGCUUAUUUAAAAAUCAUAUUAUAUUAGGAAUAAAAUUAAGAAGUUCAAAUUAAAAAAAACAGAGAAGUUCGAAAUUUUAUUAAAAUCAAUAACAACUCUUUAUUCGAAAUAAAAAAUGUGAAGUUUAAAUUAGAAUAACAAAGAAGUGCAAAGUUUAUAAAGAACUCAGAUUUUUUCUUGUUACCGAAGAAUAAAAUGAUGAAGUUCAAAAUAAAAUAAAGGAAAAACUAAAAACAUGAUUUAAAAAAGAAAUUUUCUGUUUUUCAAAACACUAGAAGUUUAAAAAUUGAAAUAACAAAGUGAUUCGGUGUUUAUGAAAAAAAUCUAAGACUUUACCAUAAAAAACUAAAAUAUUCGUCGUUAUUAAAGAAUCAACCAUGAAGUUCAAGAAUUGAAAAAAAAAUUCAAACUCGAUGUUUAUUUUAAAAUCAAACACAAUUAUUUACUCAACAAAAAACUCAGAUAUUUUCACGUAAUCGAGAGAAGUUCAGAUUGAUAAUUGCCAGAAGUUCACGUACUACACGGUGUGCAUUUUGUAUGAAAAAAGAAUAAAAAAGCAAAGGCUAAAAAGUUUUUUUGCUAGAAGUUCAAGUGCUCUGUCCGGGGAAGUUCAAAAAAUUCUUGUGAGAGAGGUUGAACAAAAAAUACAUGACAGAAGUUCAAGAUGAAAAUAGCGGGAAGUUCAACUACUAUACGAAAUGCGUUUCAGAUAGGAAAAUAAGAAUAGAAAACAAAAAGCUUAAAAGAUUUUGUUGCUAGAAGUUCACGUGCUACUCCCGGUGAAGUUCGUGAUCUCUAGUGUGAGACGUCCGACCUUCAGUUACAUGUAAAAAACAGGCAAAAAAGACAUUGUUUUACGCAUUCAAAAAUAUAUUUUGAACCAUUACGAGUAUGAAAAACUCAUCAACACAAAAAAGUUGCGUGUUUUUAAUAGCUUUCCAUCGGUAUAUCAUUUUCUCAAUUACGGUAAGUGGUUUGAGAAUUACGGGCGAAAAACAUCACUUCAAAAAAUAGAGUGAAGUUCAAACAGACAUGCUCCAGAAGUUCAACUACUUCACGCAGUGCAUUUCCGUUCACGAUGAAUGCAGAAAUCAUUAUCUCGCCAUUUUCUAAUUUACCUCGAAACGACGAUAAUAUCAUUAGUGUAAGUUCAAGUCCUUGGUCGGAGAAAGUUAAAAAAAAAAAUUGUGAGAGACGUUUGUACAAAAGGAAUAUUAUUUGUGUAACACUUACGAAUGGAUGAGAAAAUUAGAAACAAAAAUAUGUCCCAGAAGUUCAACGUGAAAACAGCAGGAAGUUCACAUACUACGCUAAAUGAAUUUCAGAUGAAAAACUUUCAAAAUCGUCGCGAGUAUGAAAAAAUGAUCAACACGGGAAAGUUGCGUGUUUACAGCAGCUUUCCAUCGGUAUAUCACCCGCUCAAUUCCCGUGAGUGGAAUGGAGAGCUACAAGCAGUGGAUGAAGAUCUACGAGCAAAAAAAUCACGUGAAAAACAGAGUGAAGUUCAGGUGCACGCACCGAGAAGUUCAGGUUCUUCACGCGGUGCAUUUUUGAAGAAUCUGUUUCGCGGUAGAGGCAGAACGAAUGAUCCCGCCGUUUUCGGAAUUACUUGAAAACGACUAGGAAUCAGAGAAAACCAUCAACAUAAAAAAGUUUCGCAUUUUCCGUAGCUUUUCAACGGUAUAUUAGUCGCCCAAUUCCGAUAAAGUUUGUAGAAAUUAUGGUGAAAAUAUGUUGUUCGCCAUUUUUGAAACUGACUUAAAACCGUAAAGAAUUGGGAGAAACAAUACAUACCAAAAAGUUUCGCAUUUGUUCAAGCUUUCCAACGCCAUAUCAUUUGUUGCAUUCGGACGCAUGGUUAUAAAAUUAGCUCAAAAAUACGAACUCAUUAAGACUUGGACCAUUUUCUAAAUUACUCUUAAACCAUUCAAAAUUAGAAAAAAAAAUUCAAGACACAAAAGUAGCGCAUUUUCAUAAGCUUUCCAACGCCAUAUCAUAUGCCUCCAUUGGAUUAGCCGUUUAGAAAUGACAUUGAAAAAACAAACUCAGUUGUUCGGUUUAUGAAAUUUUACGUUUUUUCAAAUUACUCUUUAACCAUAGGGAAUUAGAAAAAAUUUCAACAUGUGGAAGGAGCGGUUUUGCAGCAGCUUUCCAACGCCAUAUUAUAUGCCUCAUUCCGAUAAACGGUUUAGAAAUGCGAUUGAAAUUACGAUUCACGUUUUUUGUGUGAAGAAAAACGGUUUUCAAAACUGCUCUUAAACCACUUACAUUUUGCAAAAAAUUUAACUUGGGUCAUGAUACUCAUGUCUAUAGCUUUCCAACGGUAUAUAGCAAGCCCUAUUUGGGCAAUGUUGCGGGAAGUUCAACCUAGCACAGGGGGAAGUUCAGGCGCGUUACUCAGGCAGUAAAAUCGCAAAAAACGCGAGUUCUUCACGACCCGAGUGCAAAAUCCGCCUAUGAGCGAGAUUUCUAUCUAAAACGAGUAUUUAGUUGCUAAAAAUCAUUUUAAGACUACACUUACAUCACAUGGAACACGACUAACCAGAAAAACUCGCGGUAGAAGGCACAGUUGCGAAGAUAGCCCGAAGGUCGGGUUUGUACAGAGAGAAGUUCAGGCGCGUUACUCAGGCAGUUCAGGUUGUGAUCAGAAUAUUAUUCUGAUCCCGUGAUUAAAAUAGUGUUUAUAUAUAUAGUAACACUAUUCUGAUCAUGGGAUCAGAAUAACUAUUUGGAUCACAAUGGGCUCUAUAAGGAGCGCGACGGUGUUGCCGAACUCCCGCAACUACCGUGACAGAAAUACCGACCCCGAUCUCAUCACCACCAAACUCCUGCCCCGCCCAGACCCACCUCCCCCGUGCCGCUGUGCGACCUCCCCGACUCCCCCGCCGUCAGCCGACCUUCAGGGAACCCCCGCCGCCGCCCGACCUCCUGCACGCCCCGCCGCCGCCCACCACAAACGUCGCCGUGGACGGACCCCGCCUCCUGCAACCCCGCAGCAGGCCUCCUCCCGGGGCCCAGCUGUUGGUCUCCUCGCGCGGACCCACCUUUCUCUCCGGCCACACGAGCUACCGCGUCGUCCCCUAGCGCCCAAGCGCCGCUGCCCUCACCUUCCUCCCCCGGUAGCAAGUGCCGCCACCCCCACCUGUCCAGCACCCCCUCCCCGGUGCUCCCUACCGGCCAGACCGACACCCAGCUCCGCUGCUCCCUAUGACGGUCGUCUCUCCUGUUGCUCGUUACCGACCACGACGGAGCGACCAGGCAGAGAUUUUGUAGCAGUUCUGGCUCUGAAAAAGUGGCAGGUCGAGAGAUUCGUCCUUCGCCUGCGUGGAUGCUGGCUACCGCAACAUGGAGCUAGGGCCUCCCUGGCCUGCGGCUUUCACCAACUACUGCGGAGCCGCACCGCAGCUGCUGUUUUUCAUGGGUUCGGGAUGAUUCUAGCCAUUAAAAACUAGCUGCAGCUCGUCCGCAAGCUCACUGCCUCCACCCUGGUGCUCCGCCUCAUCUUCCGAGGAUGCACAAGUUCUGUGACCAAAAUGGGACGAGCUGCAGCAGCAUCCAUACUGCUACUAGUAAUGCAAUCUAGUGAGGAAAGAAAAUUAAGCUGAAAAGUUCAGAGAUCCCCCUGCUGAAAGUUCAGAAAGAAAUACAGACAAAGUUGUAUGUUUCAUGAUAUGUGUGCGUGGUGAGUGGAUAGGAAAGAAAAUGAAGUUGUGGUGGAGAAAGAGGCCACCGCUUCUCACGUGGCCAUCCACUUACUCCGCUUCUCAAGUACCAUUAUUAUAUUACUCUUAAUCUAACUUACUAAGGAGAAUAUACUUCUUUAUAACUCGAGCCUAAUGGAAAGAAAUUGUAUUGUAAGGAAAAAUGUGCAUGCAUUAGUGCAUGUGGUUUGUUGAUGGAGUGCGUGCGCACUAGCUGUCUGUGCAUGUUCAAAAUAAAUAAAAUUCGACAGUUCUAAAAAAGUGUUUUGGGUGUACAAUUUUUCCCGUUGAUUUUCUAGUUAUUGAAAGAAAAUAACCAACAAGAUCAAAUUAAAACAAAAGCAGCUCAAUAUUGGUAAAACAACAUAUAUUUUUCAGCGUUGCUAAAAAAGCCCAAGAAGGUCAAAUUAAAAUAAUGGAGCAGUUCGAAUAAUAAUAAACCAUGAAGUUCAAUUUCAAAAGAUGGAGCAGUUUGAUAUUAUAUUACAAAAACUCGAAUUUUUCAUGUUACUAACAAAAACCAAGAAGUUCGAUUUGAAAUAAUGAAGAAGUUUGACAUUUACUAGAAGAACUCAAAUUUUUCACAUUUCUAGAAAUACACAAAGAUGUUCAAAAUUUUGAAAAAAUAUAAUGGUUCGAUGUCUAUAAAAAAUCAUUUUUUUUGUUGCUAAAGGGUAGCAUCGUUUUACAAAACAACCAAAAAAACAAAAGAAGAUCGAAAAAUGUUUUAAAAAACAACCAUCCACAUUUAUAAAAAAACUAGAAGUUCACAUUAAAUUAACGGGAGCGGUCCGAUGUUUAUGACAAAACUAUGAUUUUCCCCGUUACUAAAGAACAAACCAAGAAGUUCAAAAAUAAAAAAGAGGCAGUUUAAAAAGUUUUAAAAGAUGGUGUUUCUACAUUUAACUAAAAAAUGGAGAAAGUUAAAUUUUAAUAACAUAGAAGUUCAAAAUGUUUAUAAAAAACCAGGAAGGUCAAAUUAAAAAAACCGAGUAGUUCAACAAGUUUGUAAACAUGGAUUCGCCACUAUUUUUUUUAAGAUCAGGAAGUUCAAAUUUAAAGAAGUGAGCAGUUCAAUGUUUAUUACAUAAUUAGGACUUUUCCAUAUACUAAUGAAUAACACCAAAAAGUCUUAAUUUAAAAAAAUGAAGUUAUUUGAUGUUUAUAAAAAUCUUAGAUUUCCCCCCAUACUAAAGGUACACAAUGAUGUUCAAAACAAAAAAGGUAGAGUGUCUAUAAAAAACUCAGAUAUUUUCACCUAACCGAGAGACGUUCAGAUUGAUAACUGCCAGAACUUCACGUACUACACGGUGUGCAUUUGUAUUAAAAAAGAAUGAAAAAUCAAAAGCUAAAAGUUUUGUUGCUAGAAGUUCAAGUGCUCGGCCCGAGAGAGUUUAACUUUUUUUGUGAGAGAGGUUGAACAAAAAUAUGUGACAGAAGUUCAAGAUGAAAACAACGGGAAGUUCAACUCGUUUCAGAUAAGAAUGUAAGAAUAGAAAACAAAAAGCUUAAAAGGUUUGUUGCAAGAAGUUCACGUGCACCUCUGUGCAUGGUUCAGAAUUUAUAUUGCGGGACAUCCGACCUCCAAUUACAUGUUUUAAAAUGGCAAAAAAUGACGUGUGACCUUUAAUUGGGUGUAAUUCGACGUAUACACAAAAUACGUGACAGAAGUUCAAGGUGAAAACAACGAGAAGUUCAACUACUGAAAGGAAUGCAUUUCAAAUGAGAAUAAAAGUAUAGAAAAUUAAAAGCUUAAAAGGUUUGUUGAAAGAAGUUCAAGUGCUCUGUCCGGGGAAAUUCAAAAAUUCUUACGAGAGAGGCUCAUCUUGUAUUUCCAUGUUCGAUUUUUUCCGUAUAAAAAUCGAAUACAAUUCUUUACUCAAAAUAUAAAAAGGUGAAGUUCAAAUUGAAAUAACACAGAAGUUCGGAGUUUAUUAAAACCUAGAAUUUACCUUUUCAAGAAAUAAAAAGCACAACGGCAUUUUUUGCACUUUUGAAAACAAUCUCAUAAACGUAAAAAUGGUUGCUAGAAGUUCAAGUGCUCGACGAGGGAAAGUUCAAAAAUUCUUGUGAGAGAGGUUCACCGUGUAUUUAGAUGUCCAAAAUACAUAAAAAAAUAUGUUGUUUUUUGUGUUUUAAAAUAACUCUCUCAAACCAGAGAGAAGUUCAAAGUGAUAACAACCGGAAGUCCACGUACUAUAUGGUGUGUAAUUCAUAUAAAAACAAUAAAGUGAAACAAAGUGAAGUUCAAAAAUACAUGCCCAAGAAGUUCAACUAUUUCAUGCAGUGCAAAAAAUAGCACGUCAAAAAACAACACGUCAAAAAUUAGAGUGAAGUUCAAGCAGACAUGCCCGAGAAGUUCAGCUACUUCACGCAAUGCAUUUCCAUUCGAGAUGAAGGCAAAAAUCAUGAUCUCGUCAUUUUCUAAUUUACUUUAAAAUGGCAGGAAUAUCAUUUGUGUAAGUUCAAGUCCUCGGUCGGAGAAAGUUAAAAAAAUAUUGUGAAAGAGGUUUGUACAAAAAGAAUAUCAUUUGUGUAACACUAACGAGAAUGGAUGGGAAAAUUACAAACAAAAAUAUGUCACGGAAGUCCAACGUGAAAACAGCAGGAAGUUCAACUACUACACUGAAUGAAUUUCACAAGAAAAAACUUUUAAAACCGUCACGAGUAUGAAAAAAUGAUCAACACGGAAAAGUUGCAUGUUUAUAGCAGCUUUCCAUUGGUAUAUCACUUGCUUAAUUCCGGUGAGUGAAUGAAGAGCUACGAGCAAAAAAAGCACGUGAAAAACAGAGUGAAGUUCAAGCAGAACUGCCACAGAAGUUCAAGUACUUCACGCGAUGCAUUUUCGACAAAUCUGUUUCGCGAUAAAGGCAGAACGAGUGAUCUCGCCGUUUCUGAAAUUACUUGAAAAUGGCUGGGAUUCAGAGAAAACCAUCAACAUGGAAAAGUUUUGCAUUUUUUGUAGCUUUUCAACAAUACAUUAUUUGCCCCGUUCCGAUGAAGUUUGUAGAAAUUAUGGCGAAAAUAUGUUUUUAUCCAUUUUCAAAAUCAACGUAAAAUCGUAAUGAAUUUGGAGAAACAAUAUAUACCAAAAAGUUUCGCAUUUGUUCAGGCUUUCCAACGCCAUAUCGUUUGCUAUGUUCGGACGUAUGAUUAAAAAAAUAGAUCGAAAAUACAAACUUGGUAGAACUUGUACCGUUUUCUAAAUUACUUUUAAACCAUUCCAAAUUAGAAAAACCUUUCAACAAGAGAAAAAUGCGCAUUUUCAUAAGCUUUCCAACUCCAUAUCAUUUGUCUCAAUUGGAUUAGGCGUUUAGAAAUGGCAUCAAAAAUACGAACUCGGUUGUUCGGUUUGCAAAUUUUUACGAUUUUCCACAUUACUCUUUAACCAUAGGGAAUUAGAAAAAACUUUCAGCAUGUAGAAGGAGCGGUUUUACCGCAGCUUUCCAACACCAUAUUAUUUGCCUCAUUCCGAUAAAUGGUUUAUAAAUGCAAUCGAAAAUACGAUUCAAGUUUUUUGUAUGAAGAAAAAACGGUUUUCAAAACUGCUCUUAAACCACUUACAUUUUACCAAAAUUUUAAGAUGGGUCAUGAUAUUGGUGUUCAUAGCUUUCCAACGGUAUAUCGCAAUCCCCAUUUGGGCAAUCUUGACGGAAGUUCAACCUAGCACUAGGGGAAGUUCAGGUCGAACAAAUCAGGCAGUAAAAUUGCAAAAAACACAAUUUCAUCAUGACCUGAGAGCAAAAUCCGCCAGCGAGCGAGAUUUAUAUUUAAAACCAGUAUUUAGUUGCUAAAAAAUAUUUCUAGAUUACAUUAACAUCAUAUAGAACACUACUAACCAGAAUAAUUCAGUGGGGAAGCCACGGUUGCAAAGAUAGCCCAAAGGUCGGGUUCGUACAGAGGGAAGUUCAGGCGCGUGUACAAACAAAAAUACGUCACAUAAGUUCAACAUGAAAACAACAUGAAGUUCAACUACUACGCUGAAUGAAUUUCAGAUGAAAAACUUUUAAAAUCGUUGCGAGUAUGAAAAAAUGAUCAACACGGGAAAGUUGCAAGUUUACAGUAGCUUUCCAUCGGUAUAUCACUUGCUCAAUUCAGGUGAGUGGAUGGAUAGCUUGGAGCAGUGGAUUGAGAUAUACGAGCAAAAAAAGCACGUGAAAAACAGAGUGAAGUUCAAGUACACAUGCCGAGAAGUUUAGGUUCUUCACGCGGUGCAUUUUCGAAGAAUCAGUUUCGCGAUAAAGGCAGAACGAAUGAUCUCGCCAUUUUCACAAUUACUUAAAAACGUCUAGGAAUCAGAGAAAAUCGUCAACAUGAAAAAAAAUUACAUUUUCCGUAGCUUUUCAGCGAUAUAUUAUUUGCCCCAUUCCGAUAAAGUAUGUAGAAAUGAUGCCAAAAAUACGUUUUUAGCCAUUUUCCAAUUUGACUUAAAGCUGUAAGGAAUUAGGAGAAGCAAUAUAUAUGAAAAAGUUUCACAUUUGCUCAAGCUUUCCAAUGCCAUAUCAUUUGUUGCAUUCGGAUGUACGGUUAAAAAAUUACCUUGAAAAUACGAACUCGGUGGAACUUGUACCGUUUUCUAAAUUAUUUUUAAACUGUUCCAAAUUAGAAAAAACUUUUAACAUGAAAAAGUAGUGCAUUUUCACAAGCUUUCCAAUUCCAUAUCAUUUGCCUCAAAUGGAUUAGCCGUUUAGAAAUUACAUUGAAAAUACAAACUCGGCUGUUCGGUUUGGGAAAUUUUAUGUUUUUUCAAAUUACUCUUUAACCAUAGGGAAUUAGAGAAAACUUUCAACAUGUGGAAGGAGCGGUUUUGCAGCAACUUUCCAACGCCAUAUUAUAUGCCUCAUUCCAAUAAAUGGUUUAUAAACGCGAUCGAAAAUAUGAUUCAUGUUUUUGUGUGAAGAAAAAACAGUUUUCCAAACUGCUCUUAAACCGCUUACAUUUUGCCGAAAAUUUAAGUUGGGUCAUAAUAUUGGUGUCCAUAGCUUUCCAAUGGUAUAUCGCAAGCCCCAUUUGGACACUUUUUAGCUGAAGUUCAACCCAAUACUCGGGGAAGGUCAGGCGCGUUACUCGGGGAAGUUCAACCCAAUUCCCGAGUUACACAACCUGACCUUCCCGUGUACUAGGUUGAACUUCAACUAAAAAGUGCCCAAACGGGGCUUGCGAUAUACCGUUGAAAGCUAUGGACACGAGUAUCAUGACCCAAGUUGAAUUUUUGGCAAAAUCUAAGCAGUUUAAGAGCAGUUUUGAAAACUGUUUUUUCUUCAUACGAAAAACGUGAAUCGUAUUUUCGAUCACAUUUCUAAACCGUUUAUCGGAAUGAGGCAAAUAAUAUGGCAUUGGAAAGCUGCUACAAAACUGCUCCUUCCACAUGUUGAUAGUUUUCUCUAUUUCCCUAUGGUUGAAGAGUAAUUUGGAAAAUCAUAAAAUUUCACAAACUAAAUAGCCGAGUUCGUAUUUUUGAUGUCAUUUCUAAAUGGCUAAUCCAAUUGAGGCAAAUAAUAUGGCGUUGGAAAGCUUAUGAAAAUGCGCUACUUUUUUAUGUUGAAAGUUUUUUUCUAAUUUUGAAUGGUUUAAAAGUAAUUUAUAAAACAAUACAAGUUCCACCGAAUUCGUAUUUUCGAGGUAAUUUUUUAACCGUACGUCUGAAUGCAGCAAAUGAUAUGGAGUUGGAAAGCUUGAACAAAUGCAAAUUUUUUUGGUAUAUAUAUUAUUUCUCUCAAUUCUUUACGAUUUUAAGUCAAUUUAAAAAAUGCCUAAAACGUAUUUUCGCCGUAAUUUCUACAAACUUUAUCGGAAUGGGGCAAAUAGUAUACCGCUGAAAAGCUACGGAAAAUGCGAAACUUUUUCAUGUUGAUGUUCUUCUCUGAUUCCUAGCCGUUUUCAAGUAAUUUUGAAAACAACGAGAUCAUGUGUUCUGCUUUUGUCGCGAAACAGAUUCUUCGAAAAUGCAUCCCGUGAAGAACUUGAACUUCUCGGUAUAUAUACUUGAACUUCACUCUGUUUUUCAUGUGCUUUUUUUUCAUUGCUCUCCAUCCACUCACCGAUAUUGAGCAAGUGAUAUCCAGAUGGAAAGAUGUUGUAGACACACAACUUUCCCGUGUUCAUCAUUUUUUCAUACUUGCGAUGGUUUUAAAAGUUUUUCAUCUCAAUUUCAUUCAGUGUAGUAGUUGAACUUCCUGCUGUUUUCACGUUGAACUUCUGUGACGUAUUUUCGUUUAUAAUUUUUCUCAUACGUUCGCCAGUGUUACACAAAUGAUAUUCUUUUUGUACAAACCCCUCUCACAAUAAUUUUUUUAACUUUCUUCGACCGAGGACUUGAACUUAUAACAAAAAAAAUUGGAUCUUUCCUUUCAACUUUCUCAUAUUAAACACACACCAUGCAGUACAUGAAUUUUUUCUAUUUUUAUAAUUUGAAUUUUUUAUUUUCUUUUUAAGAUCAAAUUGCUCCCAAAUAAUAACUGAACUUCUUUGUGGAUUGAGAUAAUUAUUUUAAAACCCCAAAAAACCAAAAAAAUGUGUUUUCGAACAUGGAAAUACAAGGUGAACCUCUCUCACAAGAAUUUUUGAACUUCCUCGGACAGAGCACGUGAACUUAUUGCAACAAACCUUUUAAGCUUUUAGUUUUCUAUUCUUAUAUUCUUAUUUGAAACACAUUCUGUGUAGUAGUUGAACUUCCCGUUGUUUUCACCUUCAACUUUUGUCAUGUAUUUUUGUUCAAGCACUCUUACAAGGAUUUUUGAACUUUCUCGGGCCAAGCACUUGAACUUCUAACAAUAAAACUUUUAGCCUUUGCUUUUUUCAUUAUUAUUUUUCAUACAAAACGCAUACUGUGUAGUACGUGAACUUCUGGCAGUUAUCAAUCUAAACUUUUCUCGGUUACCUGAAAAUAUCUGAGUUUUUUAUAGACAUCGAACUGGUCUAACUUUUUUAGUUUCAUGGUAAUUUUUGUAAACUUUAUCGGAAUGUGGCAAAUAAUACGCCAUUGGAUAGCUAUAAAACUUGCGAAACUUUUUCAUUUAUAAAGUUUUCUCUAAUUCCCUGCCGUUUUUAAGUAAUUUAGAAAAUGAUGAGAUCAUGAUUUCUGCCUUCAUCAUGAAUGGAAAUGCACUGCGUGAAGUAGUUGAACUUCUAGGGCAUGUCUGUUUGAACUUCACUCUAUUUUUGACAUGCUAUUUUUUGCCCGUAACUCACAAACGGCUUAUCGGAAUUGAGCAAAUGAUAUGCCGAUGAAAAGUUGUUUAAAACACACAACCUUUUCAUGUUGAUCAGUUUUUCAUACUCGUGACGGUUCAAAAUAUUUUUUUGAAUCCAUAAAAAUGUGUUUUAAUGGUAUACCUAAAACUUUUAAACCAUUCAUCGGAAUAUAGCAUAUAAUAUACCGUUGUAAAGCUUAUGAAUAGGAGCAUCUUUUUCAUGUAGACAAACGUUACAAAUUUGUUGUUGUUUGAGAGCAGUUUUAAAAAUGGCAAAAACAACAUCACUUUUUUUCCUGUUUUUUACAUGUAAUUGAAGGUUGGACGUCUCGCACUAGAGAUCUUGAACUUCACCGAGAGGAGCACCUGAACUUGUUUCAACAAACCUUUGAAGCUUUUUAGUUUUGUAUUCUUUUUAAUCUCACCUAAAAUGCACUCGGUGUAGUAGUUGAACUGUUUGCAGUUUUCACUUUGAACUUCAGUUGCAUAUUUUUAUUUGUAUUUCCUCACCCUAUUCGACGGACUUGCACAAAUGAUAUACCUGUUGAAACUUGUUGAGAAGACUCAACUUUUUUCUAAUACGGUAAAACUUUUGUUCGAACAACAUACACCAAUUUAUUUUUACAGUUUAUUUUGUUAUAAAGUAUACGAUACACCCUUGGAAAGUUUUCGAACAAGAGGAACUUUUUUCAUCUAGAGCAUUUUUGUUCCAAAUUUGUAAUCGAUUGAGAGAAUUAUUUUGAAAAAUGAGAAACAACAUCUUUUUUGUGUUUUUUGAACAUGUAAACACACAGUAAACCUCUUUUUCAAGAAUUUUGAACUUCAAGGGCAAAGCACAUGAACUUCUAAGAACAAAAAUAAUAAUUAGAUUUUGGUUUUUUGUUUCUUUUUCCCAUAUGAAAUACACAACAUGUAGUACGUGAACUUCUGGCUGUUAUCAGUUUGAACUUCUCUCUGUUUCACUUUAGCAAUGUAAAAAUUUGAGUUUUUAUAGACAUCGAACCGCUCUAACUUUUUUAUUUGAAACUUCUUUGUGUGUUUAUUAGAAAUGCAAAAAUUGGAGUUUUGUUAGAAACAUUGAACUUCUUCGUUAUUUCAAGUAACCAGAAAAAACGAGUUUUGUAAUAAAUAUCAAACUGCUCUGCUUUUAAAAAUUGAACUUCUUGGUUUUAUUAUUUAGUAACAAGAAGAAACUAAGUUUUUAAUAUGCAUUGAACAACUCCAUUUUUUUAUAUUGAACUUGAUGGUUUUAAUCUUUCGUGACGCCCCCGAUUCAAUCAUACACUAAUCAUACACGCAAAUGUGUAUGAUCAAGAUCAGGGACUCACAGAAAGAUAUCACAACACAACUCUAGACACAAAUAAAAUAAUACAAGCUUUAUAUUACAAACCAGGGGCUUCGAGGGCUUGAAUACAAGCUCGAUACACAAAAGAGUCAGCAGAAGUAACAAUAUCUGAGUACAGACAUAAAUUAAACAAGGAUGCCUUAAGAAGGCUAGCACAAACAUCAAUGAUCGAAGAGGCAAGGCCUCCUGACUGGGACCUCCUAACUACUCCUGGUCGUCGGCGGCCUCCACGUAGCAGUAUCCGUCAGCAGUGGCAUCUGGCUCCAGGGAUCCACCAUCUAGUUGCAUCAACAGGAAAGAAGAAAGAAGGGGGAAAAGGGGGUAGCAAAGCAACCGUGAGUACUCAUCCAAAGUACUCGCAAGCAUCAGAUCUAUACUAAGUAUGCAUUGGUAUAAAAUGGAAGGUUUGUAUCUGUGGACAGAACUGCAGAAUGCCAGAAUAGAGGGGGAAGGCCUAGCCUAUCAAAGACUAGCAUCUUCGAGCAGCUCCGAGCAUCUUGCAGCAUGUAGGAGAGUAAAGAAUAGACGUUUAAUUAACAAACAUGUUGUAACAUUAAUGCCCAGAGAUCCUUCAUUGACUCCCUGCGAGAAAGCAAUCCUGGAGCUACAUAUAUCAAGUAUCCAUUUGUAGUUGUAUAAGAUCAGAAUAUAGGUCUGAACGUCCGUUAUCGUGGACACGACUAUUAAUAGAUAAUCUUUCCUGCAGGGGUGCACCAUGUUUUCCAACACGCUUGAUUGCUCUGGCCGGACACACUUUCCUGGGUCAUGCCCGGCCUCGGAAGAUCAACACGUCGCAGCCUGAUACGUCUCCAACGUAUCAAUAUUUUUUUAUUGUUCCAUGCUAUUAUAUUACCCCUUUUGGAUGUUUAUGUGCUUUAUUUUACAAAUUUAUAUCAUUUUUUGGGACUAACCUAUUAACCGGAGGCCCAACCCAUAUUGUUGUUUUAUUGCCUGUUUCAGUAUUUCGAAGAAAAGGAAUAUCAAACGGAGACCAAACGGAAUGAAACCUUCAGCAGCGUUAUUUUUGGAAAGAAUAUGAUCCUGGAGACUUGGAGUUCAUGUCAGAAGAUCCCCGAGGACUCCACGAGAUAGGCAGGCAUGCCCCUUGUCUCGUGGGCCCCUCGAGCACCUCCCGACCAACUUCUUUCGCCUAUAUAAGCCUACGUACCCUAAAACCAUAGAAUAUCAAGAUAUAUCAGGAGUUCCGCCGCCGCAAGCCUCUGUAGCCACCAACAACCUCUCGGGAGUCUGUUCCGGCACCCUGCCGGAGGGGGAACCCAUCAUCGGUGGCCAUCUUCAUCAUCCCGGUGCUAUCCAUGACGAGGAGGGAGUAGUUCACCCUCGGGGAUGAGGGUAUGUACCAGUAGCUAUGUGUUUGAUCUCUGUCUCUCGUGUUCUCUCUCGUGUUCUCUCUAUGGCACGAUCUUGAUGUCUCGCGAGCUUUGCUAUUAUAGUUGGAUCUUAUGAUGUUUCUCCCCCUCUACUCUCUCGUGAUGAAUUGAGUUUCCCUCUUGAAGUUAUCUUAUCGGAUUGAGUCUUUUAUUUGAGAACACUUGAUGUAUGUCUUGCCGUGUUUAUCUGUGGUGACAAUGGGAUAUCACGUGCCACUUGAUGUAUGUUUUGGUGACCAACUUGCGGGUUCCGCCCAUGAAUCUAUGCAUAGGGGUUGGCACACGUUUUCUUGACUCUCCGGUAGAAACUUUGGGGCACUCUAUGAAGUACUUUGUGUUGGUUGGAUGAAUCUGAGAUUGUGUGAUGCAUAUCAUAUAAUCAUGCCCACGGAUACUUGAGGUGACAAUGGAGUAUCUAGGUGACAUUAGGGCUUCGGUUGACUUGUGUCUUAAGGUGUUAUUCUAGUACGAACUCUUGAAUAGAUUGAUCCGAAAGAAUAACUUUGAGGUGGUUUCGUACCCUACCAUAAUCUGUUCGUUUGUUCUCCGCUAUUAGUGGCUUUGGAGUGACUCUUUGUUGCAUGUUGAGGGCUUGUUAUAUGAUCUAUCUAUGUUAUUAUUGUUGAGAGAACUUGCACUAGUGAAAGUAUGAACCCUAGGCCUUGUUUCCUAUCAUUGCAAUACCGUUUACGCUCACUUUUAUCAUUAGUUACCUUGUUGUUUUUAUAUUUUCAGAUUACAAAAACCUAUAUCUACUAUCCAUAUUGCACUUGUAUCACCAUCUCUUCGCCGAACUAGUGCACCUAUACAAUUUACCAUUGUAUUGGGUGUGUUGGGGACACAAGAGACUCUUUGUUAUUUGGUUGCAGGGUUGUUUGAGAGAGACCAUCUUCAUCCUACGCCUCCCACGGAUUGAUAAACCUUAGGUCAUCCACUUGAGGGAAAUUUGCUACUGUCCUACAAACUUGUGCAUUUGCAGGCCCAACAACGUCUACAAGAAGAAGGUUGUGUAGUAGACAUCAAGCUCUUUUCUGGCGCCGUUGCCGGGGAGGUGAGUGCUUGAUGGUAUAUCUUUAGAUCUUGCAAUCGAAUCUUUUUGUUUCUUGUUUUAUCGCUAGUUUGGUCUAUAAAAGAAAACUACAAAAAAUGGAAUUGAGUUUGUCUCAUACGCUUCAUCUUUUUAAUAUCUUUCGUGAGUAUGAUGAAAAGGAAAAUUGUGCUCAAGUGCUAGAAGAAGAAUGCAUUAAAAUGUUUUGUAGUAGAUCUUUGUAUGAUGGGAAUGAUUGCAAUGUUGUUAGUAUGAAUUCCUUGAAUAUCCAUGAUGCUAAUGAUAUGCAAAGCCACAAGCUUGGGGAAGCUAUGUUUGAUGAAGAUAUUUUUUUGUCCCCCAAGUUUUGAUGAGCAAAUUUAUUAUGAUGAAAGCAUGCCUCCUAUUUAUGAUGAUUAUAUUGAUGAAAGUGGGUUUGGAAGAGUGUCAACUUUAGGAAGUAAUGAUCCCACUAUUUUGGAGGAUGUUGAAUAUUAUUGUGAUAAUUAUGAAAGUGGAUUUGGAGAGGUCAUGACUUUAUUUAGUGAUGAUUCCACUAUUUCAGAAGAGGUCCCAAUUGAUUAUGAGAACAAAGUUGCUAUCUAUGAUGAUUAUUGUGAUGACUUAUAUGCUAUUAAGAAUAAUGAUAACCAUGAAACUUGUCAUCAUGAUUUUAGUUUUCAAUUGGAUUAUGCCUCACAUGAUAAUUAUUUUGUUGAGUUUGCUCCCACUACUAUUCAUGAGAAGAAUUUUGCUUAUGUGGAGAGUAGUAAAUUUUCUAUGCAAGUAGAUCAUGAAAAGAAUGCUUUAGGUGUUGGUUAUAUUGUUGAAUUCAUUCAUGAUGCUACUGAAAAUUAUUAUGAGGGAGGAAUAUAUGCUUGUAGGAAUUGCAAUAAUAUUAAGUUUCCUCUCUAUGUGUUGAAAAUCUUGAAGUUAUGCUUGUUUUACCUUCCUAUGCUAGUUGAUUAUUGUUCCCAUAAGUUGUUUGCUCACAAAAUCCCUAUGCAUAGGAAGUGGGUUAGGCUUAAAUGUGAUAUUCAUAUGCUUCAUGAUGCUCCGGUUACGUUUCAAUUUUUAUCUUUUAUUUGAGCAUCAUUGCCAUCAUCAUGCCUAGCUAGAAAGGCAUUAAAGAAAAGCGCUUGUUGGGAGACAACCCAAUAUUUAUCCUUAAUGUUUUUGUGUGUUUACAUGAUUAUGAUACUGUAGUAAUCAUGUUUUAUAGCUUUUGUUUCAAUAAAGUGCCAAGUAAGACCUUUAUGAUAGCUCACGGUGAUAGUUGUGUUGAUCCUGCUGAAAAUCAGAAACUUUUGCACCCAGUAAAUUAGUUUUUCUAAUUCACAUAAACGUGCUUCUGAUCUGAUUCUUUUUGCUCUGUAUUGGUACACAAAUUUCUUAGGACUUCCUAAUUUGGUAGGAUUUUUGGAGUUCCAGAAGUAUACUUUUGAUAUAGAUUACUACAGAUUGUUCUGUUUUUGACAGAUUCUGUUUUUCGUGUGUUGUUUUCUUAUUUUGAUGCAUCUAUGGCUAGUAUUAAGGGUAUGAACCAUAGAUAAGUUGGAGUACAGUAUAUAUUACACCAAUAUGAAUUUAGAAUGAGUUCAUUACAGUACCUAAGUGGUGGUUUUAUUUUCUUAUACUAACGGAGCUUACGAGUUUUCUGUUGAGUUUUGUGUUGUGAAGUUUUCAAGUUUUGGGUAAGGAUUCGAUGGAUUAUGGAAUAAGGAGUGGCAAUAGCCUAAGCUUGGUGAUGCCCAAGGCACCCCAAGGUAAUAUUCAAGGACAACCAAGAGCCUAAGCUUGGGGAUGCCCCGGAUGGCAUCCCCUCUUUCGUCUUUGUUCAUCGGUAACUUUACUUGGAGCUAUAUUUUUAUUCACCACAUGAUAUGUGUUUUGCUUGGGGCGUCAUUUUAUUUUGUUAGUAUUUGCUUGCUGUUAUCUAGAAUAAUGUUUUGUAUAUUUAUUUUCAAUAAAAAGUCAAGGAUAGCCUUUGCCAUGCUUAUUUUGCUAGUAUACAUGUUGCUGUUUGAAAACAGAAAGUUUACCGUUGUUGCAAAAAUUCCCUAGAAAAGUCAUAGAAUGGUAUAAUGUUGAAACUUUUUGCAUAUUUAGAUCUGAUAAAUUUACUACAGUGGGAAUUUUCCCUCAUAAAUUUUGGAGUUAGGGAAGUAUUGAUACUCUUGCAUUCUUUACAGACUGUACUGUUUUGGCAGAUUGCUGUUAUGUUUGCAUUGUUUGCAUAUGUUUGCUUGUUUAAUGAUUCUAUUUGAGGAUACGAGUAUUAAAUAUGCAGAGGCAUUUAGUAUGCAAUGUUGAAUAAUAAUUUUAGUGAUUUGUUACAGUAGAAAAUGAUAAGGUUUUGCAUUGGUUUAUACUAACCUAUCUCACGAGUUCUUGUUGAGUUUGGUGUGGAUGAAGCUUUUGAUAAAAAAAGAAACCAUGAUAUGAGAGGAAUUAAGGAGACACAAAAGUUCAAGCUUGGGGAUGCCCAAGGCACCCCAAGAUGAUAUUCCAAGAAGUAUCAAGCAUCUAAGCUUGGGGAUGCCCCGGUAGGCAUCCCACCUUUCUUCUUCAACAACUAUCGGUUAGUAUCGGUUGAGCCUAAGUUUUUGCUUCUUCACAUGAGUUGUGCUAUCCUUGCAUUGUCAUUUUAUUUGGCUUUGCUUGUUGUUUGAAUAAGAUACCAAGAUCUGAAAUUCCUUAAUGUUAGAGAGUCUUCACAUAGUUGCACAAUUAUUCGACUACUCAUUGAUCUUCACUUAUAUCUUUCGGAGUAGUUUGUCAUUUGUUCUAGUGCAUCACUUAUAUCUUUUAGAGCACGGCGGUGGUUAUAUUUUGUAGAAAUUGAUAGUCUCUCAUGAUUCACUUAUAUUAUUUUGAGAGUCUUUUAGAAAAGCAUGGUAUUUGCUAUGGCUACAAAGUUGGUCCUAGAAUGAUGAGCAUCCAAGUUGGGUAUAAUAAAAAUUAUCAUAGAAAGUGAAUUGGAUGCUAUGAUCAUUUUGAUGCUUGAUAAUUGUUUUGAGAUAUGGAGGUAGUGAUAUUAAAGUCAUGCUAGUUGGGUGAUUAUGAAUUUAAAGAAUGCUUGUGUUGAAGUUAGCAAGUCCCAUAGCAUGCACGUAUGGUUAAAGUUGUGCAACAAAUUUGAAACAUGAAGUGUACCUGGCUUGUGCAUCCUUAUGAGUGGUGGUCGAGGACGAGCGAUGGUCUUUUCCUACCAAUCUACCCCCCUAGGAGCAUGCGCGUAGUGCUUGAUUUUUUAUGACUUCUAAAUUUUUGCAAUAAGUAUAUGAGUUCUUUUGACUAAUGUUGAGUCCAUGGAUUAUACGCACUUUUACCUUUCCGCCACUGCUAGCCUCUUCGGUGCCGUGCAUUGCCCUUUCUCACCUUGAGAGUUCGUGCAAACUUCGCCGGUGCAUCCAAACCCCGUGAUACGAUACGCUCUAUCACACAUAAACCUCCUUAUAUCUUCCUCAAAACAGCCACUAUACCUACCUAUUAUGGCAUUUCCAUAGCCAUUCCGAGAUAUAUUGCCAUGCAACUUUCCACCGUUCCGUUCUUCAUCAUCAUGACAUACUUUACUUUUGUCAUAUUGCCAUUGCAUGAUCAUGUAGUUGACAUCGUAUUUGUGGCCAAGCCACCAUGCAUUAUUUUUCAUACAUGUCACUCUUGAUUCAUUGCACCAUCCCGGUACACCGCCGGAGGCAUUCAUAUAGAGUCAUAUCUUGUUCUAGUUUCGAGUUGUAAUUCAUAUGUUGUAAUCAAUAGAACUAUGAUGAUCAUCAUUAUAAGAGCAUUGCCCAAAGAAAAAAAAAGAAAAAAAAAAGAAGAAAGGCCAAAAAAAGAAAGGCCCAAAAAAAGAAAAAAAGGGGAAAAAAGAAAAUAAAUAAAAAGGGCAAUGUUACUAUCUCUUUUUCCACACUUGUGCUUCAAAGUAGCACCUUGUUCUUCAUGUAGUGAGUAUCAUAUAUUGUGCUUCAAAGUAGCACCAUGUUUUUCAUAUAGUGAGUCUCAUAAGUUGUCUUUUUCAUACUAGUGGGAAUUUUUCAUUAUAGAACUUGGCUUGUAUAUUCCUACGAUGGGCUUCCUCAAAUGCCCUAGGUCUUCGUGAGCAAGCAAGUUGGAUGCACACCCACUAGUUUUCUUUUGUUGAGCAUUCAUUUAUAGCUCUAGUGCAUCUAUUGCAUGGCAAUCCCUACUCCUCAUGUUGACAUUAAUUGAUGGGCAUCUCCAUAGCCCGUUGAUUAUCCUUGUCAAUGUGAGACUUUCUCCUUUUUUGUCUUCUCCACACAAUCCCCAUCAUCAUAUUCUAUUCCACUCAUAGUGCUAUAUCCAUGGCUCACGCUCAUGUAUUGCGUGAGGAUUGAGAAAGUUUGAGAUUAUUUAAGUAUGAAACAAUUGCUUGGCUUGUCAUCGGGGGUAUAGAAGUUGGGAACAUCUUUGUGUGACGAAAAUGAAGCAUAGCUAACUAUAUGAUUUUGUAGGGAUGAACUUUCUUUUGCCAUGUUAUUUUGAGAAGACAUGAUUACUUUUAUUAGUAUGCUUGAAGUGUUACUAUUUCUUUUAUCAAUAUGAACUUCUAUAUUGAAUCAUUUGGAUCUGAACAUUCAUGCCACAAUAAAGAAAAUUACAUUGAAGAAUUAUGCUAGGUAGCAUUCCACAUGAAAAAUUCUGUUUUUAUCAUUUACCUACUCGAGGACGAGAAGGAAUUAAGCUUGGGGAUGCUUGAUAAGUCUCCAACGUAUCUAUAAUUUUUUAUUGUUCCAUGCUAUUAUAUUACCCCUUUUGGAUGUUUAUGGGCUUUAUUUUACACAUCUAUAUCAUUUUUUGGGACUAAUCUAUUAACCGGAGGCCCAACCCAUAUUGUUGUUUUAUUGCCUGUUUCAGUAUUUCGAAGAAAAGGAAUAUCAAACGGAGUCCAAACGGAAUGAAACCUUCGGCAGCGUUAUUUUUGGGAAGAAUAUGAUCCUGGAGACUUGGAGUUCAUGUCAGAAGAUCCCCGAGGACUCCAUGAGAUAGGAGGGCGCCCCCCUGUCUCGUGGGCCCCUCGAGCACCUCCCGACCGACUUCUUUCGCCUAUAUAAGCCUACGUACCCUAAAACCAUCGAAUAUCAAGAUAGAUCGGGAGUUCUGCCACUGCAAGCCUCUAUAGCCACCAAAAACCUCUCAGGAGUCCGUUCCGGCACCCUACCGGAGGGGGAACCCAUCACCGGUGGCCAUCUUCAUCAUCCCGGUGCUAUCCAUGACGAGGAGGGAGUAGUUCACCCUCGGGGCUGAGGGUAUGUACCAGUAGCUAUGUGUUUGAUCUCUCUCACUCGUGUUCUCUCUCGUGUUCUCUCUAUGGCACGAUCUUGAUGUAUCGCGAGCUUUGCUAUUAUAGUUGGAUCUUAUGAUGUUUCUCCCCCUCUACUCUCUUGUGAUGAAUUGAGUUUCCCUCUUGAAGUUAUCUUAUCGGAUUGAGUCUUUUAUUUGAGAACACUUGAUGUAUGUCUUGCCGUGUUUAUCUGUGGUGACAAUGGGAUAUCACGUGCCACUUGAUGUAUGUUUUGGUGACCAGCUUGCGGGUUCCGCCCAUGAACCUAUGCAUAGGGGUUGGCACACGUUUUCUUGACUCUCCGAUAGAAACUUUGGGGCGCUCUUUGAAGUACUUUGUGUUGGUUGG